CAUGCAUCUUACACCUCAGAAUAUCAUCAUCGUCAUCAUCUUUUUCAAACUCUUGAAAGAAAGAGCGUGUUGCUAAGAUGUUGAAAUACUCUUCUCCAAUCAUCUCCAUUUCUUCGUCUUCAUCUGCAUUAAGGUAACCUUGAGCCAUCCAUAGAUUAAUCAAUUCCCUUUUAUUCAUAUUGUAGUCUUUUGGAAAGACAGCACAAUAUGAGAAGCACCGUUUUACCAUAGAAUUGGAGGGCAAAUCGUUAUAACUCAACAACAAAGGAGCCAAAAGACCUUGCUUAAUCUCUUCUACUUUCCACACUUCACUAUCUAAAAUUCUUUGCCACUCAUUUACUAUACUUUUAGAGGACAAGAGAUUCCCUGUACGUUUAUCGCACAAGAGGUUCCCUGUUACCUUUGCAGCAAGAGGCAGGCCUUUGCACUUGCGUGCAAUUUGUCGUGCGAUUGGUUCUAAUUUUUCACGAUCAACAGAAGAAUGACCGAAAAAUGCGAACCGCUCGAACAACGACCAGAAUUCAUCUUCAGGCAAUGGCUUAAUGGAGAUAAUAUUUGUUGAUCUCAUCAUACGGGCAACUGACACAUUACGUGUGGUAACCACAAUUUUACUUCCGGGAAGACCAUUCUUUAGACAAAAGAAGAAUUGAGCCCAUAUAUUAUAAUUCCCAUCCCAUACAUCAUCUAAGACAAGAAAAAUUUUUUUCCCUUCAAUUGAUCUAUGGAUAUGGCUCAUAAGAGAUUGGAAUUCGCUUAAACCAGAAGCUUCUUUUGACUCGUCUAGACCUUCAAUAAUUGCUUUGGCGACCCUCAUCUCAUCAAAAGUGUCCGAUACACACACCCAUAUAACUUUUUCAAAAUUUAUUUUCACCUCAUCAUUAUUAUAGGCUAGUUGUGCAAGAGUGGUUUUACCUAUACCCCCUAACCCAACCAGUGAGAUGAUAUGAGGAUGUUGUUCGCCAUUCUCACCCAACAACUUACCUAACAGCUCAUUUUUCUCGUCAUCUCUACCAAAAACCUCUCCCUCAUCAAUCAAGAAGGUGGUUCGCACUCGCUCUGGUUUCUUAACAUUGUUACUCACAUUCUCAACAAAUUUGAAACUAUCUUUUUGUCUGGCAAUAUCAUCUAGCUUUUCACUGAUUUCUCUAAUCUUGACAGCAAUAUCAUGACGAAGACUGAGUUGUUUGAAACCACCAAAGCAGUUUGAGGCAGCAGGAAAGAAGGAACAUACCUUCGUCAAAAGAGUAACAAAAGCAUUGGCGUCAUCAUCAUCAUCAUCAUCGCCGUCCUCAUCAAGCUGCAAUUUCCGUGUUUCAGUGAUCCACUCUUCCAACACAUCUUCCAUGUCGUAGGAUGCGUCUCUGAGCUGAUCCAGCCAAAAAGUAACAGCGUUGUCCUGCUUCAUUUGCCUCUGCUCUGCAUCUUCCAGCACAGCUUGAAUGGCUCAUUACUCAGCCCUUCUACUCUACAUUCACGAAGGAGUUGAAGAUUUUUCAGAGAUUCAAGCCUACACGUAUUGUUACCAUCAACACCUCCACCCACAACAAACUUUUCUAAUGUUCGAAGGCUGGUCAAUCUGGAAAUCCCUAUUGGCAGGUACUUCAACGAACUAGUAUCACCAUUUAGUAAACUCCUCAUGUUCUUUAACUUCCCAAUCCCCGUAGGCAAUUCUCUUAGAUCUUGGCACCGCCUAAUAUCUAGCUUUUGUAAAUUAUAUAAUUCACACAAAGUCUCAGGUAGACUCUCUAUACGUAGUCCAGACAAAUUAAGAUAUUUUAAAUGUAUCAAUUUUUCAACAUUUUCUGGAAUUUCUCUAAUCAAAUUUAGGUCAGGACGAAAAAUUGGGGACGGUUGGCUUAUAACUAAUGCCCUUAAACACGCCAAUUUACUAAAUAACUCCCGAAGGAUACUACUAUUAAGAGAUGGAUUGGAAGGACUUUCAUCAUCAAUUCCGAGUCCAGGACUGGACACAAGAUAUAAAACUGCAUUGACAAGACUAUAAGCGGAUGAAAUAGCCAUGGAUUGAAAUAAAGAUGGAUUGUAAUGACUUGUAUCAUAAAUUAAGAGGCUACGCAAUCGAUCAAAUUCAAAAAAGGACAUAGGAAAUGAAGCUCCUCUUUGAAAAUUUAACCCUAUGUGACGGACUUUCUCACCAAAAAAGUUUAUGACUAAUUCCUUGGUACCAUUUAUUUCUACCCACAAACAUUCUUUUCUACUUACAAAUUGGGCAAAAUCAUGUACUAUGUCAUGCAUCUUACACCUCAGAAUAUCAUCAUCGUCAUCAUCUUUUUCAAACUCUUGAAAGAAAGAGCGUGUUGCUAAGAUGUUGAAAUACUCUUCUCCAAUCAUCUCCAUUUCUUCGUCUUCAUCUGCAUUAAGGUAACCUUGAGCCAUCCAUAGAUUAAUCAAUUCCCUUUUAUUCAUAUUGUAGUCUUUUGGAAAGACAGCACAAUAUGAGAAGCACCGUUUUACCAUAGAAUUGGAGGGCAAAUCGUUAUAACUCAACAACAAAGGAGCCAAAAGACCUUGCUUAAUCUCUUCUACUUUCCACACUUCACUAUCUAAAAUUCUUUGCCACUCAUUUACUAUACUUUUAGAGGACAAGAGAUUCCCUGUACGUUUAUCGCACAAGAGGUUCCCUGUUACCUUUGCAGCAAGAGGCAGGCCUUUGCACUUGCGUGCAAUUUGUCGUGCGAUUGGUUCUAAUUUUUCACGAUCAACAGAAGAAUGACCGAAAAAUGCGAACCGCUCGAACAACGACCAGAAUUCAUCUUCAGGCAAUGGCUUAAUGGAGAUAAUAUUUGUUGAUCUCAUCAUACGGGCAACUGACACAUUACGUGUGGUAACCACAAUUUUACUUCCGGGAAGACCAUUCUUUAGACAAAAGAAGAAUUGAGCCCAUAUAUUAUAAUUCCCAUCCCAUACAUCAUCUAAGACAAGAAAAAUUUUUUUCCCUUCAAUUGAUCUAUGGAUAUGGCUCAUAAGAGAUUGGAAUUCGCUUAAACCAGAAGCUUCUUUUGACUCGUCUAGACCUUCAAUAAUUGCUUUGGCGACCCUCAUCUCAUCAAAAGUGUCCGAUACACACACCCAUAUAACUUUUUCAAAAUUUAUUUUCACCUCAUCAUUAUUAUAGGCUAGUUGUGCAAGAGUGGUUUUACCUAUACCCCCUAACCCAACCAGUGAGAUGAUAUGAGGAUGUUGUUCGCCAUUCUCACCCAACAACUUACCUAACAGCUCAUUUUUCUCGUCAUCUCUACCAAAAACCUCUCCCUCAUCAAUCAAGAAGGUGGUUCGCACUCGCUCUGGUUUCUUAACAUUGUUACUCACAUUCUCAACAAAUUUGAAACUAUCUUUUUGUCUGGCAAUAUCAUCUAGCUUUUCACUGAUUUCUCUAAUCUUGACAGCAAUAUCAUGACGAAGACUGAGUUGUUUGAAACCACCAAAGCAGUUUGAGGCAGCAGGAAAGAAGGAACAUACCUUCGUCAAAAGAGUAACAAAAGCAUUGGCGUCAUCAUCAUCAUCAUCAUCGCCGUCCUCAUCAAGCUGCAAUUUCCGUGUUUCAGUGAUCCACUCAUCCAACACAUCUUCCAUGUCGUAGGAUGCGUCUCUGAGCUGAUCCAGCCAAAAAGUAACAGCGUUGUCCUGCUUCAUUUGCCUCUGCUCUGCAUCUUCCAGCACAGCUUGAAUGGCUUGAAGAUUGGUGGUAAGCUUUCCCACUUCAUGUUCGACACCCGUGACAAGCCUCCACUUUUCUUGAGCAAUGGAAUUCAGCUGGUCCAAGAGAGAGGAAACGAGCGCAUGAGCCAUUCUGAUAUUAGAUCAAAUGGUAAAUGCUGCAAUUGCUUUUCUUGAUAAAAUGCUCAGAGGAAAGUAGGUUUUAUGUAUUCUGUGAGAAUGUUCAUUCAAGCAUGUUUGCAUUCUUCUUAUACCAUAUGAGAUAUUUAAUUUUUACCCUCAAUGUGAACGUUCUUUCGUGCUGCAAAUUAAAGGAGUCGGCGUCAAUAUUUGUACAGCGUCCGCCCUGUUUCUCUGAUUCAUAAUAAUUCAUUGUUAAUUCUGCAGAGUACACAGCGUCAGCACUUGUAAAAUUUCUUACAUUUGUAUUUAGUUACUUGCCGCUCUUAAGAUAAUUAGUAACAAAAUAUUUGUAAACUGCAACAAAAAGCUUUGUGCAAUCUAUCUAUGAAUCUUGUGAGUUCACAUAUAAUACAGUCGAUUUAAAAUAGUCAUAAUUUUUUUUAUUAUAAAUAUUAGUAUAUUUGUAAUGGUAUAAUAUAUAUCGAUGAAACUAUAUAGAGUAAUUUCGCCUAAUUGUAUAAAUUCAUUACGAAUAUCAUCACAAAUUUGUAUUUGGUCGGGACCGUGCGAGUGAAAUUUUUGAUAAAAUUUCCCUAUGAAUCUGACAAUUUAUUUAUUAUAUGUUUCAAUUUUAGUCCACAGUCAAUAUAUAACUUUAUGCCAAAGCCAUUUGGUCAUUUGAAAAAGUAUGUGAUUCCGUUUUAGUCUAUUAUGUCACGACAAAAAGAGAAUUGGAAAAGAGAAAAAUAAGACAAAAGUUGGAAAAAUCAUGCAGCCGACCCUUUUUUCUAUCUGAUUGCGCAAUAUUAGGUAGGCGAAUGCGACUUCAUCGAUAUCAGACAGCAGUGGUUCUGUCAUUAAUUUUUUUCUUUUAUUUAAUUAAGAAAAGGAAGAAAAGAUAGCACAUGUUAUGAUUAUUGUGAAUUUUCCAUCCCUUAUAUAAAUUCUCAAAUUUAUUUAAAUUGUGAGUCAUAGAAGUAUAUUACCUAAACUAUUUUAUCAGGCUAUGUUCGGAUACUAGGAUUAAGUAUGGAAUUGGACUAAUUUUAUGAUUAUAUAUUUAUAUCAUAUUUGGUAAGCUUAAUUGAAUUGGACUAAGGGCCAGUUUGGUAAUGCUGCAGCUUUUAAAAUAAUUGCUGUUAGCUGUGCUGUAGAAAUAAUCAACUGUGAAGAGAAUCAGUUAAGUGUUUGGUAAAUUUUAUUUUCAAAAGUACUGUGAAUUUUGAAAGCAGUUAUGGGUGUUUGGUAAAUUUUAUUGUUAAACUGCUGUAAGAAAAUAAAUGACUAAAAUGUACAUAAUGUAGGAUGAAAAAAUAUUAUAAUAAAAAUUGCAUAGCCAUGGAAUCAUUUAUAAUAAAAAAAUUCAAAUAAGACAAACAAUGAAUAUUAUAAUAAAAAUUGCAUAGGCAUAGAAUUGUUUAUAUAUAAACAAACCCAAAUAAGACAAACAACAAAUAUUAUAAUAAAAAUUACAUUGAAUAUGCAUGAAAAGGGUGAUGAAUCACUUACUGUUAUUGAAUAUGGUGAUGGAACACGUAAUGGAUCUUGCUUUGUUGCACUAGAGAAGUUUUGAUAGAACAAAAAAUAUGAAGAAAUAGGGUAAACGAAAGGUGUACGUUAAUUAUAAUAAAAAAUUAUUAAAAUAUUGAUUUUAUUUUCAAUUUAAAUAAGGAUAAUUUCGGGUUUAAGUAAUAAUUGUAAGGAUAUUUAUGGUAUAUUACCUAAACUAUUUUAUCAGGCCAUGUUCGGAUACUAGGAUUAAGUAUGGAAUUGGACUAAUUUUGUGAUUAUAUUUUAUAUCAAAUUUGGUAAGCUUAAUUGAAUUGGACUAAGGGACUAAAUUUAAGUUUAAUCCUAAAAUUAUGGGAUUAAUAAUCCUAAUGUACACAUUCCUUUAGUUGGGACUUGGGAUAAGAUUAAAGAAAAAAAGUUAUCCAUUUAUGAGACUUUAAUUUAUGUCAUUAUUUUUUAUUUAUACUUAAUAUUAAUUAAUUAAUUAAUUUACUCUUUAAUUUAUGUCAUUAUUUUUUAUUAAUACUUAAUAUUAAUUAAUUAUUUUUUUUAAUUUAUGAUUUAUUUAAAAUUUAUUUUUAUUUAUUAUCUAUCAUCUGAUUAAAUUAGAACUUUACUUCUACUAACUCUUGAGAUUAAUUUUUCAUUACUUGCGUAUUUGAUAAUUUGCCAAUAAAAUUAACCAUUUAAUAAUUUCUUGCAUUAUUGAUUGUAUUAAAUUUAAUAAUCACUAAUAUAAUAUUAAAAAUCAUCAUGAAAAUUAAUAAUACCAUCAAUUAAUUGAUUUAUAUACUUUUUUAAAUAUUUGAUAAGAAUUUGAUAAAAAUUAAUUAAGUAUUUAAUUUUUUUUUCAUUUUUUUUAAUUUAUUUUAUCAUGAAUACCCAGUAUCUUACAAUAUAAUUAAUUUUCUCAUUCAGACUACUAGCAUCAGCUCUUGUAAAAUUUCUUACAUUAUAAGCAACAAAAUAGUUACAAACUACAACAAAAGGCUUAGAUCAAUCCACCGAUGAACCUUCUGAAGUUAUAUAUAAUAUAUUAAUUGUUGAUCUAGUAUAAUCUUAGUGGAUAGAUUUUUUUAAUUAUAAAUAUCAAUAAAUUUUUUUAUCGUUUAAUAGAUAUUGAUGAAAUUAUAUAGAGUAAUUUUGCCCAAUCAAAUUAAUCCAUUAUGAAUUUCAGCACAAAUUUGCAUGUGGUCUGGACCGUGCAAGUGAAAUUUAUUUAGUAUAUUUUUCAAUUUGGCCGUCAACAUAUUUUUGUCAGGUAGGCAAAAGCAAAAGCCAUUAUCUCAUUAAUUCAUUUGGUCAUUUGAGAAUGUAACUCUAUUAUGCCAUGACAAACUCCAAAGAUCUAAUUUAGAGAGCGACUCAAAUAAUGUUAAUUAGUAAUUUAUUACAUCUGCGAUUAGCUUGAUACUUUGUUUAAAAAAAAAAGAAUAAAAUUAGUUUCAUAAUGAUUUUAAUUACAAUAAAUAUCAUGCUGUGGUCUAUGACUUAUAUGAUAUUACAAAGAAAAUAUGUGAAAGAUAACUAAGUAAUACAUCCAUUACGAAUUUCAUUACAAAUGAAAUUUAUUUAUUAUAUUUUCCAAUUUAACCUUAACGUAUGGACCAUUUUUUGUCUAUAUGGAUUAUGGCCAACAACUUUUUUUAUCAGGUAGGCAAGAGUAAAAGCCACUGUCUCAAUAAUUCAUUUGGUCAUUUGAAAAAGUUGUGCCUCUGUUUUAGUCCACAGUCAAAGAAAAUAUGCGAAGAAAAUAUGUCCCAUUGUGAUUUUAAUAAAUAUCAUACUAUGGACUUACCUCGUAUUACAAAGAAAAUAUGCGAAAGGAAUAAAGCUUUUCCACAAUUAUUUAUAAAAUUGCUUUUGGAGAACGGUUAUGAAAUUAUAUCAAAUUACUAAUUAUUUAGUUAACCUCUCAAGAAGUCUAUUUGGUUGACUUCUCGAGUUUAAAAUUCGAAUGUCAAAAAAGAUAAAAGGUUAAAAAAAUAUUUUAAAUAUUAUCCACCCUUUUACUAUUUUAAUAUACAAAAAGAAGAAUUACUUAUUUUUAACAAUGGCAACCGGGGGGCAUAAUAUAUCUGAUGGAUUUUUCUAAGGAACAAAACUUAUUAUAUCUCCUAUCAAAAGUGUCAUUUUUUGUUAGGAAAAGGACAUCUAUAUCCCCAAUUUUUGGAGAAAUGGCUACCAACGCUCCCAAAUUUUCAAAAAGAGACACUAAAACUCAUUUUUUACUACAAUACACUUUACCUUUAUUAUCCCAAAAAUUAACUUUAAUUUUUUAUAAUAAAUAGAAAUAUAAUAUUAAAAUAAAUGUAUUAAAAUUUAAAUUAUUAUGAAAAAUAAUAAUUUUAAUAUUAUUAGUAUGUGAGACUUUUUUAAUUGUAAAAUGUAUUUAAUGCAAAUAUUUAUUUAAAAUCUCUAGAAUAAAUACAAAUAUAUUAUUAAAAUAAAUAUAAUAAUUUACAUAGUUAAAUUUAUUUUAAUAUUAAAUAUUUUAAUAUUAUUAAUCUACUACAUAGAUUACAUUAUUUAUAUAAUAUUUGUGUUAACUAAAAAUUUGCAAGUUAAAUUUUUGGGGAUACUAAAGGUAAAGAGUAUUAUGGUCAAAAGAGAGUCUUGAUGUCCUUUUUAGAAAACUUGGGGUGUUGGUGACUAUUUCUCCAAACCAUGGAGAUAUAGAUAUCCUUUUCUCUUUUUUAUUUUAAACAAGUGGUGACUAAAGAUUAAACUGUCAUAGAUUCACAAGAUAUUCACCACAAAAUUUGUAGGAAAUUUCUUCUUCCCUAAGCGGAAAAUACAAAACAAAAACAUAAUUGGCAAUUUCACUAGCAAAACUAAUAUUUUGUUCCAUAUCCAGGGCCGGAGCUCAAGGUAAAUCUUCAUGACGCCCAAAUUCAAAUUUCAAGUGUUAGCUGGGGAUUAAUUUUAGACAAUUAUUUUAUUUAUAGCUAGUAUGUAGUUGUUAGGUGUUUCAAAAUUUGAGAAUUUAGUGAUUCUGUGAGAAUGUUCAUUCAAGCAUGUUUGCAUUCUUCUUAUACGUACCAUAGGAGAUAUUUAAUUUUUGGAAACAGAUCCGGUGCUCAGCUGAGCUUGUGCUGAGCACCGGAUCCUGGUCCUUAGUUUUUACCCUUGAGUCAAUGUCAAUGAGAAUACUUUUAUGCUGCAAAUUAAAGGAAUCCCCGCAGGAGUCACCGUGUGGGGCAUUCAGACUACUCAGCAUCAGCACUUGUAAAAUUUCUUAUAUUAUAAGUAACAAAAUAUUUGUAAACUACGACAAAAAGGUUGGAGCAAUCUACUGAUGAACCUUCUGAAGUUAUCUGUAAUAGACUAAUUUGAUCUACAAUAAUCUUAGUGUUGGAACAAUUUCAAAAUAAAUGAUGUUUUAUUAUAAAGACAUGCCUAAUUAAUUUUGCCAUAGAAGAGGUAUCUUUUGAUAUUUAAUAAAUAUCAUACUAUGGUCUACGACUUACCCAUAUUACAAAGAAAAUAUGUGAAAGAUAAUUAAGGAAUAAAGUUUUCAACAAUGAUUUAUAAAAUUGCUUUUGAUAAAACUGUUCUGAUGAAAUGAAAUUAUGUGAAAUUACUACGAAUUUAAUUAGCCUCUCAAAAAGGUUUAUUCAUUGCUUGACUUCUCAAGUUUAAAAUUCGAAUGUCAAAAUAGAUAAAAAGUAAAAAAAAUUAUUUUGAGUUUUAUCCACCCGUUUACCAUUUUAAUAUAUAAAACUCCCCAAACGGGUCUUAAAUUGUCAUAUGUUCGCAAGAUAUUCAGCACAACAGUUGAGGGAAAUUUCUUCAUCCUUGAGCGGAAAAUACAAAGAAAAACAUAGUUCGCAAUUUUAGUAGCAAAACUAAUAUUUUGUUCCAUAUGGGGUAAAUCUUCCGAAGGCCCAACUUCAAACUUAAAAUGUUAGUUGGGGAUUAAUUUUAGGGGGAAACCUCAGGUGCAACUGUGGUACCGUGCCACAGUUGCAUCUAGCCGUUGGAUGUGAGUAGACCCCACCAAUCCAAGUGCAUCCAACGGCUAGAUGCAACUGUGGCACGGUGCCACAGUUGCACCGUAGGCUGAUCCUGAUUUUAGACUGUUUUUCUAUUUAUAGUUAUUAUGUAGUCGUUAGGAAUUUCGAAAUUUGAGAAUUUUGCUUGUAGCUACAGGCUGCAGCGAUUUUGAUUUGGCGGCUUUGAUUCAUAAUUGAAGUUACUGUUGCAAGUAAAACUAAAAAAUAAUUAACAAAAUAAAAAUCAAGGACUAAGGCCCAAGUUUUAUCAAAAUUUUAAUAAAAAGCUAUUUGUCAUUUUGUCAUAAUGAAAAAAUAAAUAACAAAACAAAAAUAAAAAAUGGAGUUGAUUUUAUUUUACAAAAUAUAAAUUAAAUUUCCAUUAUAUGUAUAAACUAUAAAGUUUAUAUAUCAAGUGCUUAGGGAUCAAAUCGGUCUUUUUAUACUUAAUUUUUAAUAUUUCAUUUCGAAACCCCAAAAUUUUUCAAAGCUUGUAGGGUCAUGAUCCCCGCUAGGAGUCGGCAAAUUUGUGUUCAGAUCAACUUGUUUGAGUUUCAGGUUGAUUAAGUUAGAAUAUUCAGAUUGGAUUGAAUUAGAUCAAAAAUUCAAGUUUAAUUCGGAUCGCAUCAUGUUAUAAUUAUAUGGGGGUUAGGUUGAGUUUGGGUUAAAAUCAAAUUCGGUCAGCUAGGAUGGAUUCAUAAUAUUGGGAUUAGGGGUAUUUUUGAGCCUAUUUUUUUUUUUUUUUGAGUUUUUUUUUUCAAUUAUUUUAGUUCUUUGUCAACAAAAAAUAAAAACUACUACUAUGAAAUCAAAUGAAUAAAAAUUAAAAUAAACUAUUACUAUUGAAUUGGAUCGGAUCCUCAUCUCUUCACCUUCUUAUACAUUAAGGUAACUUUGAGCCAUCUAUAGUGUAAUUAGUUAUCUUUAUACAUAUUGUAGCCUUUUGAAAAGACAGUAUAAGAAAUACUGCCUUAUUAUACAUUAAUAUUGUUCCCAAUCUCUUUUACCUUCCACAUAUCACUAUCUAAAAUUCUAAAUCAUGAUGCCAUCAGUACAUUUCCACAUAUUGCCAAGAAGGAUGCUGCCUCAUACAACAGCCGUGAAGAAUUCUCCAUGCAAGACCGUCAUCAACUGUCCAUUGAACAUGCAAAUCAUGUUCAAAGCCGUGAGCAAAUUGGAAUGCCACAGUCAAACACAUCGGGAGAACUUUCGGCUCCCACGCGUGAUGUGUCCCACAUUCAAACUCAGAUUAUGGCAUCCCACGUGAAGCAUUCAAAAGAGUCGGCUAUCCACAUGCAUGCAAGUUCAAAUUCAAACAAAAGUGCAGCCCGUGAUGGUUGUAGUCAAAGCACACAAACACUUUGGGCAUGCACAAUUGAUUUGGCUUCCAUAAAGCAGAAGCACGCUAAAUCUUGGGGCCAAAGAAAAUCUUACCCUUGAAAAUUCAAAUCCAAAGUCAAAGGCACAUUCAAAUCACCCACAGUCAAAGGCACACUCAAACCAAAAUGUGCAAACAAUUCUCUAAUUUCUUUCACCCCAUGUGCAAACUUUUUCCCCAACACACAUCCAGCUUAUUCCAACUUCAAAACAGUCGGCCCCACUUGUCCAAAAUUUCCAAACACCUUCACUUAUUCAUAAUCCUACACAACCGAAUCCAACAAAUUCCCAAUAUCCAACUUCUACCCCACUACCAACAAACAGCCAACAUCCAAAUUCGGCCCCACUUAUUCUAAAUCCAUCCCUUGCUAAACAAAUCCGAAUAAACACGUCAUACUCUUUUAAUCCCCAACCAAUAACCAGCCCACCAAUUUAACCCCAUCCUUUUAACCAACUUCCCCAAUAAUUGUCAGGCCAACCUUAUAAACCUCACAUAUGGGCUUAAUGCCCCCACCUUAAAUCAGGGCACACAAAUAAACCCCGGCCCAUUCCUUAAUACCUCCCAUAAACUUCAUGUGGCCCACUCUACCAAUCCUCCCAUAUCAAAACCCUCAUAUGCUGAUAUUCCUAAAUCUUUUUUGGAUGCUAUUCUAGACUCAGUUGCCCCUGAAAUCCUGAUUAAGCCAGUUACUCUUUAACAAGGAGAGCCAACAGUUUAAUUUUCAUAAGCAGAAGAGCAGUUUUUCAAACUCUCACUUGUAGGUAAAUUUUCUUUUGGCCGACCAAAAAUGCUAGUAUUCGCCAAUUCUUUAAAUCUUUGGGUUUGAAAGGAAAUGUUCAAGUAUUUUUACUGGAUAUGAGGCAUGUACUGCUUAAUCUCGAGCUUGAGGAGGAUUAUUCUCGGAUUUGGGUAAGACAAACAUGGUAUGUUAGUGGUCGCGUAUUUUUAGAUGGACCACUAAUUUUCGGUGUACCGAGGAGUCGCCGAUUGUUCCAUUUUGGAUAUCUUUACCUUUUUUUGCUAGUACACUAUAUUCAAUGCAAACAGGCUUUAUGCUCUAUUACUGGUGCUAUCGAAAAACCAUUGAGAGUAGAUCAUGCCAUUGCUGUCGUCAUCAGACCAUCAGUUGCCCGAGUAUUGAUUGAAUUUGAUGUCUCCAAACCUUCAAUUCCUCGGAUUUGGAUUGGCACAUAUAAGUCUGGUUUUUGGUAGGAGGUUAUCUUUGAGCAGUUUCCUGCUUACUGUACUACAUGCAAGCACUUUGGCCAUUUAGAUGGAGAAUGUUUUAUUGCAAAUCCUGCUCUCUGGAAAACCCAACAGCCAAAUCAUGAGAUUCAGACCACAACAGAUAGUGAUCCAACUUCUAUAAAGGAGCGAGAGAAUCCUAGCGCAAUUUCACCACUUUCUGUCGAGACGCGGGGGCCUCAGAAUGAUGUUGCUGUGAGGGAUCCAACCAUUUUAUAUGGCAAUGCAGCUAGAUGAAUUGAGGACAUCACUCAUUCUAGUUCCGAUGUUCAGAGAGUAUCUGUUGGCUCCCGAUUUUACCAAUUUGUGAUGGAUAGCAUUAGUAAUAAUGUAAUAUGGAGGUGGGCUUCAACGCCUACUCUAUAGGUAUUCCAUCUCAGUCCGACGAGGAAAUUACAACCAAUGGUAAUUUUCAACACGUGGUUAGAUUUCAUUAAUUAGAUUCAGAUGCUUGUUCUGAUGAGGCUGUCGGAGAAGACAACCAUUUUGUGACAGAUAAUGAGGAAGCUAAAUCUUAUUCAAUUAUUGACAUGGGGAUUAGUAGUUUGGAUGGGCAUAGAAUUUCUACUCCUUAUGGUUUUGCUAAUACUCAUUUCGAGGAAGCGACGUAAGAUCAUGAAGCGGGACAAUUCUCGCUUCUAUUCACUUAGAUGAUUAAUUCCAUAAGAGUGAAGCCCUAGAUAAGUUCAAGGAAUGGAUAGCUCUAAUGGAGAAUCAAAUAGGGAGGAAAGUGAAAAGACUCAGAACUGAUAAUGGGCUAGAAUACUGUAGUAAUGAAUUUGAUGAGUUCUGUAAAAGGCUAGGCAUUGCAAGACACAAGACAGUAAGGCAUACACCUCAGCAAAAUGGACUUGCUGAAAGGAUGAAUAGGACCUUGAUUGAAAAGGUCAUAUGCAUGCUGUUGAGCUCAAAUCUCUCCAAACAUUUUUGGGCUGAAGCUGCUGUUACAGCUACAUAUCUCAUUAACAGAAGUCCAUCAUCAGCUCUGGAGUUCAAAACACCUCAGGAAGUCUGGUCUGGGAAGCCACCUGAUCUCAGCAACCUGAAAGUCUUUGGUUGCCCUGUCUGUGCACACAUUAAACAAGGCAAGCUGGAACCAAGGGCUGUGAAAGGUUAUUUCAUAGGGUACCCUGAGGGCAUUAAAGGGUACAAAAUUUGGAGCUUAAAUGGGAAACCCACCAGAACCUUUAUCAGCAGGGAUGUUGUGUUUGAUGAGGAAGCCCUGACACAGUCAAGGGUUGAGACUCAAAUAACCAAUACAAGCUCUGAAGAAAAGGGAGUUGUUGAGCUGGAGGUGGAGUCACCAAAAGAAGCAAAACAACAUCCAAAGCAAACACAUUCUGAACUGGAAGGAUAUCAACUGGUCCAAGGAUAAAAGAAAGUGGGUGGCUGCCAUGGAAGAAGAAAUGGCCUCACUUAGAAAGAAUAAGACCUGGAGUUUAGUAAAGAAACCAGCUAACCAAAAGCUAGUAGGCUGUAAAUGGAUAUAUAAAAUAAAGGAAGGAGUCUCAGAAUCUGAACCAGCCAGGUAUAAGGCCAGACUUGUAGCAAAGGGGUUCACCCAAAGAGAGGGAGUGGACUUUAAUGAAGUGUUCUCCCCUGUGGUCAAACACAGCUCAAUAAGAGUCUUAUUGUCUAUUGCAGCAUACAAUGACUUGGAGUUGGAUCAAAUGGACGUGAAGACUGCUUUCCUACAUGGAGAUCUCAGUGAGAGGAUACUGAUGGAACAGCCAGAGGGAUUUGUUGAAGCUGAAUCAGAAGAUAUGGCUUGCUUGCUCAAUAAAAGCCUAUAUGGAUUAAAGCAGUCACCUAGGCAAUGGUAUUUGAAAUUCGAUGAGUUUAUGAUCACACAUGGCUACAGCAGAAGUAAAUAUGACAGUUGUGUAUAUUCUAAGGCUCUAACCUCUGGAAAUUUCAUUUACCUUUUACUCUAUGUAGAUGACAUGCUCCUGGCAUGUAAACGAAGAGAAGAGCUGGAGUGGCUUAAAGGUGAACUAAGCUCAGAGUUCGAAAUGAAGGACCUAGGUCCAGCCACCAAAAUUUUAGGAAUGCACAUAAUCAGAAAUAGAGUUUCUAAAACUCUUUUCUUGUCUCAGACAGGAUAUGUGGAGAAGGUUCUUAGUAGAUUUGGAAUGAAUGAAUCCAAACCAGUCUUAACUCCUUUAGGAGCUCAGUUCAGACUCUCUAAACAGGAAGAGCCAGAAGAAAAUGCAGAGGUUGAACACAUGAAGAAUAUACCAUACACUAGUGUGGUUGGUUGUAUUAUGUAUGCCAUGGUGUGCACCAGACCUGAUUUGGCCUAUGGAAUUGGAGUGCUGAGCAGAUUCAUGUCAAAUCCUGGAAAACAUCAUUGGCAUGCAGCUAAGUGGAUGUUGAGGUAUUUAAAGGGUACAGCUGGUCUGGGUAUAGUAUAUGGAAGGGUUGACAAAAGCUCUAGUCAAAUUCAAGGUUAUGUUGAUUAAGACUUUGCUGGCGAUCUGGAUAAAAGGAGGUCAAUCACUGGUUAUGUCUACACUUUGUGUGGUGGAGCAGUCAGCUGGAAGGCUUCUUUACAGUCAGUAGUUGCUUUGUCAACUACUGAGGCAGAGUANNNNNNNNNNNNNNNNNNNNNNNNNNNNNNNNNNNNNNNNNNNNNNNNNNNNNNNNNNNNNNNNNNNNNNNNNNNNNNNNNNNNNNNNNNNNNNNNNNNNNNNNNNNNNNNNNNNNNNNNNNNNNNNNNNNNNNNNNNNNNNNNNNNNNNNNNNNNNNNNNNNNNNNNNNNNNNNNNNNNNNNNNNNNNNNNNNNNNNNNNNNNNNNNNNNNNNNNNNNNNNNNNNNNNNNNNNNNNNNNNNNNNNNNNNNNNNNNNNNNNNNNNNNNNNNNNNNNNNNNNNNNNNNNNNNNNNNNNNNNNNNNNNNNNNNNNNNNNNNNNNNNNNNNNNNNNNNNNNNNNNNNNNNNNNNNNNNNNNNNNNNNNNNNNNNNNNNNNNNNNNNNNNNNNNNNNNNNNNNNNNNNNNNNNNNNNNNNNNNNNNNNNNNNNNNNNNNNNNNNNNNNNNNNNNNNNNNNNNNNNNNNNNNNNNNNNNNNNNNNNNNNNNNNNNNNNNNNNNNNNNNNNNNNNNNNNNNNNNNNNNNNNNNNNNNNNNNNNNNNNNNNNNNNNNNNNNNNNNNNNNNNNNNNNNNNNNNNNNNNNNNNNNNNNNNNNNNNNNNNNNNNNNNNNNNNNNNNNNNNNNNNNNNNNNNNNNNNNNNNNNNNNNNNNNNNNNNNNNNNNNNNNNNNNNNNNNNNNNNNNNNNNNNNNNNNNNNNNNNNNNNNNNNNNNNNNNNNNNNNNNNNAUGAGGAAGCCCUGACACAGUCAAGGGUUGAGACUGAAAUAACCAAUACAAGCUCUGAAGAAAAGGGAGUUGUUGAGCUGGAGGUGGAGUCACCAAAAGAAGCAAAACAACAUCCAAAGCAAACACAUUCUGAACUUGAAGGAUAUCAACUGGCAAGGGAUAGAGUAAGAAGAACCAUUAAAAUGCCUGAAAGAUAUGGAGUUGCAGAUCUUAUAUCAUAUGCUUUGGCUGUGGCUGAAGCUGAAACAAGUGAGGAACCAGCAACCUACAAGCAAGCUAUGAGAUCCAAGGAUAAAAGAAAGUGGGUGGCUGCCAUGGAAGAAGAAAUGGCCUCACUUAGAAAGAAUAAGACCUGGAGUUUAGUAAAGAAACCAGCUAACCAAAAGCUAGUAGGCUGUAAAUGGAUAUAUAAAAUAAAGGAAGGAGUCUCAGAAUCUGAACCAGCCAGGUAUAAGGCCAGACUUGUAGCAAAGGGGUUCACCCAAAGAGAGGGAGUGGAUUUUAAUGAAGUGUUCUCCCCUGUGGUCAAACACAGCUCAAUAAGAGUCUUAUUGUCUAUUGCAGCAUACAAUGACUUGGAGUUGGAUCAAAUGGACGUGAAGACUGCUUUCCUACAUGGAGAUCUCAGUGAGAGGAUACUGAUGGAACAGCCAGAGGGAUUUGUUGAAGCUGAAUCAGAAGAUAUGGCUUGCUUGCUCAAUAAAAGCCUAUAUGGAUUAAAGCAGUCACCUAGGCAAUGGUAUUUGAAAUUCGAUGAGUUUAUGAUCACACAUGGCUACAGCAGAAGUAAAUAUGACAGUUGUGUAUAUUCUAAGGCUCUAACCUCUGGAAAUUUCAUUUACCUUUUACUCUAUGUAGAUGACAUGCUCCUGGCAUGUAAACGAAGAGAAGAGCUGGAGUGGCUUAAAGGUGAACUAAGCUCAGAGUUCGAAAUGAAGGACCUAGGUCCAGCCACCAAAAUUUUAGGAAUGCACAUAAUCAGAAAUAGAGUUUCUAAAACUCUUUUCUUGUCUCAGACAGGAUAUGUGGAGAAGGUUCUUAGUAGAUUUGGAAUGAAUGAAUCCAAACCAGUCUUAACUCCUUUAGGAGCUCAGUUCAGACUCUCUAAACAGGAAGAGCCAGAAGAAAAUGCAGAGGUUGAACACAUGAAGAAUAUACCAUACACUAGUGUGGUUGGUUGUAUUAUGUAUGCCAUGGUGUGCACCAGACCUGAUUUGGCCUAUGGAAUUGGAGUGCUGAGCAGAUUCAUGUCAAAUCCUGGAAAACAUCAUUGGCAUGCAGCUAAGUGGAUGUUGAGGUAUUUAAAGGGUACAGCUGGUCUGGGUAUAGUAUAUGGAAGGGUUGACAAAAGCUCUAGUCAAAUUCAAGGUUAUGUUGAUUAAGACUUUGCUGGCGAUCUGGAUAAAAGGAGGUCAAUCACUGGUUAUGUCUACACUUUGUGUGGUGGAGCAGUCAGCUGGAAGGCUUCUUUACAGUCAGUAGUUGCUUUGUCAACUACUGAGGCAGAGUACAUAGCACUCUCAGAAGCAGUGAAAGAAGCAAUAUGGUUAAAAAGGUUAGUAGCAGAGUUAGGCCUGGAGCAAGGAUCAGUCAAUAUCAACUGUGACAGCUCUAGUGCCAACACUUCAUCAGAGAUGAGAUUGCUCAAGAAGUUGUAAAUGUAAUUAAGAUUGCAUCAGAGUGUAACCCUGCAGACAUGCUUACGAAGACUCUGCCAUCAGUCAAGUUAAAAGCUGCUUUGAAAUCGAUUGGCAUGGUUAGUCAGUAAAUCAAGUUAUGGUAGGUUGAUUCAGUGACUGAAGGAAGCUUUAACAGAAUAAAACUAGGUGGAGAUUUGUGAAGCCAGGAAGUAGUUAUAUUCUGUUAAAACAUUAAUGAGGUGGCAUGCUGAGCUGGCAUGGAAUCUUUUGGCUGUUAAAUCUAUUAGUUGAAUAGAACAACAGUUGGCUUUUUCUCUCGUGACUAAGGGGUUAUAAAAGAGCAGCAAAAGUAUUCUUGAAGAGGAGAGUGUGUGUGAGAGAUUCUUGGAGUGAGAUAUAGAGCUUAUAUGAAGAGUUAAUAUCUCUGUAAUCUCAUCAUCAGUUGUAAUCCAUUUUCAUUCUAAAUAAAGCUUAGAGCAGUACUGUUUCAACCGUGGAUGUAGGCUUCUUGUGGCCGAACCACGUUACAUCUUCUUGCCAUUUUCUUUUAUGUUCUUGGUGAUUGCAGUUGCUUAGAUUGAUCUUUAGUUUUGUUUACAUUUGAUUGCUUGGUUUGAUUCUCUCAAAGAAGCUUGAAACAUUGGGCCAGUUCUUAACACUCUGUGGUUCAAUCAUUUACUUCUCUGUUCUUGUUUAUUCACAACAAGAUAUCAAUAGAAGAAGAUGGAAAUGAAAUUCUAUAAAAUAAAGCAAGUGAAUUACCAGCAGAACAUUUUAGCAAUCCUUUCGCUAAACUUUUCAUUUUCAUAGUCUUGCUCUCCUGCCUGCAUCAUUAAAACCAAAUUAGCUUGGACCUGUGAAUUGCUAGUGUAGUUAUGACAUUUCCUCCAAUCCCUGGUGAACAUAAUUAAACUCGUAUGAAAAAAAACAAAGUGGGCUAAUGUAGUAAAAACAAUUACACAAUUACUUUAAAAUUGAUAAUUUAGUUUUCGACAUUAUUGCAAAUGUAUCAAGGAGAUUUUGUCACUCAGGAAGUUACACAUAACAAAUUUUCGUACAUUAAAAAAUAAAUUACAUUGGGAUUUUCUAUGAUGUUGUAUCAAAUUUUACAAAAGAGCACAUAUUUUUUAAAAGAAAAGAUAGAAAUUUCAACAUACUACACUUGUUUUUUUUUUAAUUAUUUAAUCUUUAGAAAACAAGUUUAACAGAUUUGAUAACUAGGAAGUUUUACAUAUUUAUACCAUGAUUGAUUCUAUAUAGAAUUUUAAUUAAAAAUAUAAUUAUUUUUAUUAAUUUCAUUGCAAGCAACAACAAAGUAAAUCAGAGGAGGAGGAGAAAUUACCAGCGAGUGAUAUCUUACGGCGACCACUUGAUGCGGGGAAGGUGGGAUAUCUUAUACCAGUCUUCUCCUUCCCCCUGUCUAUAACGGUUUUCCAGAAGGGGACAUUCGCUAAUUCUCAAUUCCUGCAGCAUCGUCGUCCGAAGAAGGUAAUCCGGCAGCACCUUUAAUUUGGGGCAAUACCCAAUUCGCAAGGAAGAAAGACGUGGUAUGUCUAUUGUCCUGCGAUCUUCUAGAAUGGGCAGUUCUUCCAAUUUUCACAAGAAUAAAGACUCAGUUCCUACAGUGCCGUCGUUUGAAGAAGGUAAUCCGGCAGCCCCUUUAAUUUGUUGCAAGAACCAACUUUUAAGGAAGAAAGACGGGGCAUGAUGGAGAUGUUUUCCUUCCUCGUAACCCUGUAAUUCCACUCUUCCAGUUCUUUCAUUGCGUCAAUUUCGAGUGAUUUCAAUUUGGGGAAGGCAAUAACUGAUGGUGACAAUGAAGAUGAAGCUGGGUCAUCCUCAGUGCCAUUUCAAAUUCGCAAGGAAGAAAGACGUGGUAUGAUGGAGAUGUUUUCCUUCCUCGUAAUCCUGUAAUUCCCCUCUUCCAAUUCCUUAAUUUCGAGUGAUUUCACUUUGGGGAAGGCAGUAACUGAUGAUGAUGAUGAAGACGAAGAUGGGUCAUCCUCACUUUCUUCUAUUUCCAAGAACUCAUUACCCACUCUUUUUACACUUUUCAAGUGGCAUAGUUCGAGCUUUUCCAGAGGCAAUUUUCCCAAUGGAGGCAACUGCUCACAAUUCUCGCAGAAGACAAGUUUUAAAUCGCUUAGAUUGGUUAGUGAAGUCAACCAUUUGGGCAAAAUGUUGCCUCCGUUGAAUAGAAUCCAUAAUUUCUCUACAUUCAAUGGCGGUUGUAAGGCUUCAAGAAGUUGUUCAUCUUUCUCAUUCUUCCUCCUCCUCUCUUCAUAUUCCCCAUCUACAACUUUACCUCCUUUUUCUUCUUUAUAUCCCCCAUCCUCAUCUUCAUCUUCCCCACCUUCAUCUUCAUUCUCUUCUUCAUCUUCCCAAUCUUCAUCUUCCCUAUCUACAACUUCAAACCAAAGAUACAAAUGAAGGAGGUUUUCCAUAUUUUUGAGUUCUAAUCUCUUAGCCUCAUCUAAAUGUGACACAUUACUCAGCCCUUCUAUUCCACAUUUCCGAAUGAGUUGAAAAUUUUUCAGACAUUCAAGCCUACACGUACUGCCACCAUCAACACCUCCACCCACAGCAAACUUGUCUAAUGUUCGAAGACUGGUUAAUUUGGAAAUCCCUAUUGGCAUGUACUUCAACGAACAAGUAAGACCAUUUAGCAAACUCCUCAUGUUCUUUAACUUCCCAAUCCCUGUAGGCAAUUCUCUUAGAUUUCGGCACCCCCUAAUAUCUAGCUUUUGUAAAUUAUAUAAUUCACACAAAGUCUUAGGCAGUCUCUCUAUGUGUAAUUCAGACAAAUUAAGAUAUUUUAAAUGCAUCAAUUUUCCGACAUUUUCUGGAAUUUCUCUAAUCAAAUUUGGGUCAGGACAAAAAAGCAAGAACGAUUGUCUUAUAACUAAUGCUCUUAAACACGCCAAUUUACUAAAUUAACUCAGGAAGGAUGCUACUAUCAAGAGACGAAUUGGGAGGACUUUCAUCAUCAAUUAGGAGGGUACGCAAUCUAUUAAGUCCAUGAAUGGACAUAGGAAAUGAAGCGCCUCCUUUAAACUUUAACCCUAAGUGACGGACUUUCCCACCAAAAGCGUUUAUGACUGAUUCUUUGGUACUAUUAAUUUCUAGCCACAAACAUUCUUUGCUACUUACAAAUUGAGCAAAAUCAUGUACUAUGUCAUGCAUCUUGCAACUCAUAAUAUCAUCAUCAUCAUUUUUCUCAAACUCUUGAAAGAAAGAGCGUGCUGCUAAAAUGUUGAAACACUCUUCCCCAGUCAUCUCCUUCUCUUCAUAUUCUUCUGCAUUAAGGUAACCUUGAGCCAUCCAUAGUGAAAUUAGCUCUUCUUUAUACAUAUUGUAGUCUUUCGGAAAGACAGCACAAUAUGAAAAAAAUCGUUUUACCAUAGAAUUGGACGACAAAUCAUUAUAACUCAACAAUAAAGGAGUCAAAAGACCUUUCCCAAUCUCUUCUGCCUUCCACAUUUCACUAUCUAAAAUUCUUUGCCAGUCUUUUAUUGUACUUUUAGAGCGCAAGAGAUUCCCUAUUACCUUUGCAGCAAUAGGCAGGCCUUUGCACUUGCGUGCAAUUUUUUGCCCGAUUGGUUCUAAUCUUUCACAAUCCUCGAAGGAGCAACCGAAAAAUGCCAACCGCUUGAACAACGACCAGCAUUCCUCUUCAGUCAAUUGCUCAAUGAAAAUAAUAUUUGUUGAUCCCAUCAUACGUGCAACCAACUCAUUACGUGUAGUAACCAAAAUUUUACUUCCGUGGAGACCAUGAUUUAAACAAAGGAAGAAUGGUGCCCAUUUAUUGUAAUCCCCAUCCCAUACAUCAUUUAAGAUAAGAAAAUUUUUUUUUCCUUCAAUUGAUCGAUGGAUAUGGCUCAUAAGAGAUUGGAAUUCGCUUAAACUAGAAGUUGACUCACCUAGACCUUCAAUGAUUGCGUUGGCAACGCUAAUCUCCUCGAAAGUGUCUGAUACACACACCCACAUAACUUUUUCAAAAUUUCUUUUCACCUCAUCAUUAUUAUAGGCUAGCUGUGCAAGAGUGGUUUUACCUAUACCCCCUAAGCCAAUUAGUGAAAUGACAUGAAGGCCUUUUUGUUGUUCACUACUUUCACACAACAACUUGCUUAAGAGCUCAUUUUUCUCAUCAACUCUACCGCAAACCUCUCCUUCAUCAAUCAAGGAGGUGGUUCGCACUCGCUCUGGUGUCUUGACAUUGUUACUCACAUUCUCAACAAAUUUAAACCUAUCUUUUUGAGAGGCAAUAUCAUCUAGCUUUUCAUUGAUUCCCCUAAUCUUGACAGCAAUGUCAUGACGAAGACUGAGUUGUUUGAAACUACCAAAGCAGUUUGAUACAGCACGAAAGAAGGAACGUACCUUCUUCUUGCGAGGAGCAAGGGAAAGACCGUUGCAUCAUCAACGCCCUCAAUUUUAGGGAUGGCAAAAAUCCCCACGGGGACGGGUACCCUCGGGGAUUUUCCCCAUUCGGGGAGGGUACGGGGAUAAUUUCUUACCCAAUUUUUUAUUCGGGGAGGGGACGGGGAAAAUUUUUUACCGAGGAGCAAGGGAAAGACCAUUGUCAUCUGCUGUACGGCCAAGGCGGAUGUACGGUACAGCAGAGGCAGGCCUUUGCACUUGCGUGCAAUUUUUCGCCCGAUUGGUUCUAAUCUUUCACAAUCCUCGAAAGAGCGACCGAAAAAUGCUAACCGCUUGAACAACGACCAGCAUUCCUCUUCAGUCAAUUGCUCAAUGAAAAUAAUAUUUGUUGAUCCCAUCAUACGUGCAACUGAGUCAUUACGUGUAGUAACCAAAAUUUUACUUCCGUGGAGACCAUGCUUUAAACAAGGGAAGAAUGGUUCCCAUUUAUUGUAAUCCCCAUCCCAUACAUCAUCUAAGAUAAGAAAAAAAAUUUUUCCUUCAAUUGAUCGAUGGAUAUGGCUCAUAAGAGAUUGGAAUUCACUUAAACUAGAAGUUGACUCACCUAGACCUUCAAUGAUUGCUUUGGCAACCCUAAUCUCCUCGAAAGUGUCUGAUACACACACCCAUAUAACUUUUUGAAAAUUUCUUUUCACCUCAUCAUUAUUAUAGGCUAGCUGUGCAAGAGUGGUUUUACCUAUACCCCCUAAGCCAAUUAGUGAAAUGACAUGAAGGCCUUUUUGUUGUUCACUACUUUCACACAACAACUUGCUUAAGAGCUCAUUUUUCUCAUCAACUCUACCGCAAACCUCUCCCUCAUCAAUCAAGGAGGUGGUUCGCACUGCUCUGGUUUCUUGACAUUGUUACUCACAUUCUCAACCUAUCUUUUUGAGAGGCAAUAUCAUCUAGCUUUUCAUUGAUUCCCCUAAUCUUGACAGCAAUGUCAUGACGAAGACUGAGUUGUUUGAAACUACCAAAGCAGUUUGAUACAGCACGAAAGAAGGAACGUACCUUCUUCUUGCGAGGAGCAAGGGAAAGACCAUUGUCAUCAUCAACGCCCUCAAUUUGUAAUUUGAGCCUUGCAAAGACCCACUCGUCCAACACAUCUUCCAUGUCGUAGGAUGCGUCUUUGAGCUGAUCCAGCCAAAAAGUAACAGCUUUGUCCAGCUGCAUUUGCCUUUGCUCUGCAUCCUCCAGCACACCUCGAAUGGCUUGAAGAUUGCUGGUAAGCUUUUUCACUUCAUCAGCCGCAACAGAGAUCAGCUGCUCCAGGAGAGAGGAAACGAUCGCAUCAACCAUUCUAACAAAGAAGACGAGAAUUCUAAAGAGUUAUUAGAUGUGCUUUUGUUGCGAUGAUACUGAAAGAAAAGGAGUUAUUGCAUUCUUUUAUACUUCAUAGAAAAUGUUUAUGCUUAUCCCCACCCCACACGUCAAUGAUUGUAGAAUGUUUAAUUUCCCUGAUUCUACUCCACUAGUUGUUAUGCGUAAUUAUAAAUAUUCUCAAGUUAUGUAUGAAAAUAGCACAAAUUUGGAUCUAGCAUUAACUCAAAUUCACAAAGGAAUAAAUAACCAAAAGAAACAAGAUUGGAGAAAUCAUAUUGGUAAAUAGGCACAUUGUUUCCUUAAUAAUCUCAAUAAAAUUAGUAAUAUUCAUAUUAGUCCCUAAAAAAUUAAUAUAUAUAUAACCGAAAAAAUCUUGUUAGUCCCCAUCAUCAGAAUUUAUUGAAAUAUUUUUAGCGCGAGUUAAAAACAAGUUCCCAACUUCACCAUUAGUUAAAUCUGAAGUAUACAUAUAGAAAUUCUUUCUCGCUGAAUUCCAUACAAAAUAGAGUGCGAAUAAGACAUUUUACAGUCUAACAAAAUGAUUUUUAUUAUUGCAAAACUAUUAAUAAUAAUCUAAAAUACUAUAUCUGCGUGUUAUUUCGUGCAGAAAUAUGUAGAGAGGGAAUAUAUUAAUUUCUAAUAAAAUCUUAGUCAAACUUUUAUCAACAUUUUGCAUUGGAUGAAAAAAGUUAAGCUUAUCCCCACCUACACGUUAGUAAUUGUAGUAGCAUCUUUAAUUUCCCUGAUUCUACUCCACCGAUGAACACACGUUAGGAAUUUGGCACAUAAUAAUAAUAAUUCUCAAACUCGUCGCAUCCUUAACGUAUGGUUGAUGAAUAAACUUUUUCAAUGUUUCCCCAAGCGAUGGAAACGAUGGCAUCAGCCAUUUGAUGUUAGAUUAAAUGCUAAAUGUUACAAUUGCUUUUGUUACGAAAAUGCUCAAAGGAAAGUGGCUUUUGUUUAUUCAGUCAGAAUGGUCAUUCAGGCAUUUUUGCCUUCUUCUUAUACUAAAUGAGAUAAUUUUUACGCUUAAUUUUUAUGCUGCAAAUUAAAGGAGUCCCAAUAACAGUCACCGCCUGGGGCUGGCCUUUCGCUGUGCUCCCCCACGUCAUUAAUUGUACAACAUCUGCCCUGUUUCUCUGAUUCAUAAUAAUUAUGCGUACUACUCAGCGUCAGCAUUUGUAAAAUUUCUUUCAUUAUAAGUAACCAAGUAUUUGUAAACUACGACGAAAACUUAAAGCAAUCUACCGAUGAACCUUCUGAAGUUAUGUAUAAUAGAUUAAUUUAACCUAGAAUAAUCUUAGUGUUGGAACAAUUUCAAAAUAAAUGAUGUCUAACUAUAAAGACAUAUGCAAGUAAUUGUGCCAUAGAGAAGGUAUCUUUCCACUUAAGAAUGUAUCAUUUCAUAGUGUCAUUUCAUUUGAAAUGGUAAUGGACCAAUUUAAACCAUUGAUUGAAAUGAAAUCUUAUUUCAAUGGCUAUAAAUGAAAGGGUAUCAUGAGAAAUGACAAUCUAAAUGGAGGGGCACAAGUAUAUCUAUAAAUACAAGCCAUGUUUAGGCCAUUUGGAUGUGAAAAUAAUAAUCCUACAACACUCUUUUCUCAACUCUCCUUCCUGAAACGAAUUUUAUCAUAUUUUAUGAAUCAAAUAUCCGAUAUAUUGUUUACUGUAGGAACAAUAUAUCAGCAAAUAAUAAAUUGAUUAUUGACGAGCUUACAACAUUCAAGAGUAUUUAGGUUUACUUUCGUUGAUGCACAAUGCAAGCAAACAAAUAAGUGCUUCAUUGCUUUGUAGAUGCGUAUUUGCUUAACCUAAGUACAUUAUUCAAUUGGUGAGAGCACAUAACGUCUUAAGAAAAACAACAUUCAUAACGUGCCUUAAAAUGCACAUUAUUUUUUUGCAAUUUGCCUGUUACUAUUAUUUUUGUUGUACCUACGGAGUAAUAAACUCAUUAUUUUAUUAGAAUAAAAUUCCACCAUUAUUAUUGCAACUCUCUAUGUUUUCCAUUAGUACAUGAUUGACUCAUUAUCUUUGUGGCACAAUCAUUUAGGACUUUUGAAUAUUAAAAGAUUGCAUGAUAUGGCUAAUUUGGAAUUAAUUUCUAAAUAUGAAUAUAAUGAUCCUACAUCACUCUCUUCUCAGACCUCUUUCUUGAAACGAAUUUCAUCGCAUAACAUAUAUACUAUAUGACUAAAUAUCAAAUAUAUUGUUUACUGCAAGAACAAUAUAUUGAUUCUUGGCAAGCUUGCAAUAUUCAAGCAUAUUAAGGUUUGCUUUCAUUGAUGAACAACUCGAGCAAACAAAUACGUGCUUUGUUGUUUCCUGAAGAUGUGUUUGCUUAGCCCAUGUGCAUCACUCAAUGGGACAAAUAAUGUCUUAAGGAAAACGACAUUUGUAAUAUAUUUUGAAGUACACAUUAAUUUUCUACAGUUAAUUACUUAUUACUAUUAUCUUCUUGUACCUAUAGAGUUGUAAACACAUUAAUUUAUUAUAAUAAACUUCCACCUUUAUUACUACAAUUCUCUACAUUUAUCAUUCCCCACAAAUAUAUAUCCCGGCACUUAGUAGAUAGAUUAUUUUAUUAUAAAUAUCAAUAGAUUUUAAUUGCAUAAUACAUAUUGAUGAAAUUAUAUAGAGUAAUUUCGUCCAAUUAUAUUAAUCGGUUAUGAAUUUCAUCACAAAUUUAUAUGUGGCCAAUACCGUGCAAGUGAAAUUUCAGAUAAAAUCAUCUCCUGACAAUUUAUUUAUUAUAUUUUUCAAUUUUGCUUUAAUGUAUGGAUCCAUUUCUUGUCUCUGUGGCAGACAAUCUUUAUUAUCAGGUAGGCAAAAUCAAAAGCCAUUAUCUCAUUAAUUUUAUUGUGCCAUGACAAACUCCAAGAUCUAAUUUAGAGAGCAAUCAUGGUAAUUAGUAAUUUAUUAGAUCUGCAGUUAGCUAGAUACUUUGUUUGACAGAAAAAGAAUAAAACCAGUUUCAUAAUGAUUUUAGUUACAAUAAAUACCAUAUUAUGGUAUAUGACUUACCUCAUAUUACAAAGAAAAUAUGUGAAAUAUAAUUAAGGAUUAAAGUUUUCCACACCGAUUUAUAAGAUUUCUUUUGAUAAAACUGUUCUGAUGAAAUGAAAUUACUAAGAAUUCAAUUAGUCCCUCAAGAAGGUUUAUUUAUUGCUUGACUUCUCGAGUUUAAAAUUCGAAUGUCAAAAUAGAGAAAAAUUUAAAAAAUUAUUUUAUGUUUCAUCCACCCGUUUACCAUUUUAAUACAUAAAAAACGAAAAACUUAGCUGGCAAUUUUACUAGCAAAACUUAUAUUUUGUUCCAUAUCGAGGGGUGCAACUCAGGGUAAAUCUUCAGGGGGGCCUAAGUUCAAACUUGAAAUGCUAGUUGGGCAUUUGGUUGACUCAUCGCAAGGUUCGAAACAAUAUAAUAUAUGUUAGGAAAUUGGUGGGUGAAGCAGACACGCAGCUAAAGUAAAAUUGGAAGAAAAUAAAGAACAAGCACAAUAGAGGACACCAGAAAUUACGUGGUUCGGCUUUUAGCCUACGUCCACGGGCGAAGACAGAAGGAAAUAUUUUACUAGUGAAAAGGAGUUACAAGUAUUGUAGUAUUUUAGCUCACUUCCCAAAACCCCAAUACACCCAAACUCUCUAACUCACUAGACACUCAAGAGUUUAUUAAACUCUUAAAACUCUCAACACUCAAGAAAGCAAUGCUUCUCUCUCGAUGGAAUUGAAUGAUAUACAAAUGAAGGGAGCCAAUGUUUUUAUAGCCAAAAUUAGCUACUGUUCAUUUAAUAUUUAAUUAUUAUUAUUAUUUUAUUAAUUUUUCUUUUUCUUUUCCUUCUUCGGCCCGGCAUCUCUUUUUCUUCUUUCUCUUUCGUUUCUUUCCUUGGGCGGCAUCUACUUGGCCUUCAAAGCCGUGUGCCACCAAUGAAGCUUAUUCAAAGCUUCUAGAUGCAGCUUCUAGAUGCUGCAGCCAAAGUAUUUUGACAAAUUCUCACAAUUUCAUCUUGUAGUUUUCUGAAAAUCAAAAUAUAGAUAAUUCUUCCUACAGUUUCAUUCUAACAACUCAAAUAAAAAGCCCAGAAACUAGAAUCAAACUUUACAAAAAGAAAAAUGCACAAAAAGUCGAACAAAGCGAGUCUAGUUAAGCUUUACUUCAAAAAAACAAACUGGUAAUUAACCCGAUUAAUACACAUUAUAAAAAUCAUGUAAGCAAAUGCACCAUCGGAGGGACUCAGGGGAGUGAUUAAUUAACAAAAAUAAGAAUAAUAAUACCAACAUUUGUACAGUACCGAAGAAAUAAAUUCAAGCUUCGAAAAUUCAAACUUUCAGGGAUAAUGUUCUUGCUCUGCCGAAACUUUGCAGCUGCUGUUGGUCUUGUUCCGUCCAAACUCAGCUUAGAGUUUCGGCUUUCAACGCGCAACAUCUGAGGUUCCUCUUAUGUAUCUCAGAAUCCUCUUAACAGUUAUCCAAUGCUCUCCACCAGGAUUCGCCAUGUAUCGACUAACUGAUCCCACUGCUUGUGCAAUGUCUGGUCUUGUACAUAUCAUAGCGAACAUCAAACUUCCCACUGCUGAUGCAUACGGUACUCGAGACAUCUCCUUCCUCUCUGCUUCAUUACUAGGACACAUACUUGAGGAUAAUUUGAAAUUAACAGGAAGUGGGGUAGAAAUUGACUUACAAUCUUGCAUGUUGAAGCGUCGCAAGAUUUUCUUCAAGUAAUUCUUCUGCGAAAGCCAAAUCUUCAUGUUAUUUUUGUCUCGGUGAAUUUGCAUCCCUAGAAUCUUGUUUGCUAGUCCCAAGUCCUUCAUUUCAAACUCCCUAGCCAACUGUGCCUUCAAUUCUUAGAUUCGAUCUUUGUUGGGACCUGCUACCAACAUGUCAUCCACAUACAACAGCAAAAUAAUGAAAUCAUUAUCUUCAAACCUCUUGUAAUAUGCACAAUGGUCUGAACUGAGUCUGUUGUACCCAAGGCUCAUAAUGAAGGAAUCAAAUCUCUUAUACCAACACCUCGACGCCUGUUUGAGACCGUAUAGAGAUUUGUUCAACCUGCAAACCAAGUUCUCCUUUCCUGUUUCUGCAAAACCUUCUGGUUGGAGCAUAUAUAUUUCUUCUUCAAGUUCUCCAUGAAGAAAUGCAGUUUUCACAUCUAACUGCUCUAGAUGUAGGUCAAAUGUAGCACACACUGCCAAGACUAUUCUGACUGUUGUGAGUCGAACCACCGGAGAAAAUAUCUCCUUGAAGUCAAUACCUUCUUUCUGAGCAUAUCCUUUCACCACCAAUCUUGCACGAUACCGCUCNNNNNNNNNNNNNNNNNNNNNNNNNNNNNNNNNNNNNNNNNNNNNNNNNNNNNNNNNNNNNNNNNNNNNNNNNNNNNNNNNNNNNNNNNNNNNNNNNNNNNNNNNNNNNNNNNNNNNNNNNNNNNNNNNNNNNNNNNNNNNNNNNNNNNNNNNNNNNNNNNNNNNNNNNNNNNNNNNNNNNNNNNNNNNNNNNNNNNNNNNNNNNNNNNNNNNNNNNNNNNNNNNNNNNNNNNNNNNNNNNNNNNNNNNNNNNNNNNNNNNNNNNNNNNNNNNNNNNNNNNNNNNNNNNNNNNNNNNNNNNNNNNNNNNNNNNNNNNNNNNNNNNNNNNNNNNNNNNNNNNNNNNNNNNNNNNNNNNNNNNNNNNNNNNNNNNNNNNNNNNNNNNNNNNNNNNNNNNNNNNNNNNNNNNNNNNNNNNNNNNNNNNNNNNNNNNNNNNNNNNNNNNNNNNNNNNNNNNNNNNNNNNNNNNNNNNNNNNNNNNNNNNNNNNNNNNNNNNNNNNNNNNNNNNNNNNNNNNNNNNNNNNNNNNNNNNNNNNNNNNNNNNNNNNNNNNNNNNNNNNNNNNNNNNNNNNNNNNNNNNNNNNNNNNNNNNNNNNNNNNNNNNNNNNNNNNNNNNNNNNNNNNNNNNNNNNNNNNNNNNNNNNNNNNNNNNNNNNNNNNNNNNNNNNNNNNNNNNNNNNNNNNNNNNNNNNNNNNNNNNNNNNNNNNNNNNNNNNNNNNNNNNNNNNNNNNNNNNNNNNNNNNNNNNNNNNNNNNNNNNNNNNNNNNNNNNNNNNNNNNNNNNNNNNNNNNNNNNNNNNNNNNNNNNNNNNNNNNNNNNNNNNNNNNNNNNNNNNNNNNNNNNNNNNNNNNNNNNNNNNNNNNNNNNNNNNNNNNNNNNNNNNNNNNNNNNNNNNNNNNNNNNNNNNNNNNNNNNNNNNNNNNNNNNNNNNNNNNNNNNNNNNNNNNNNNNNNNNNNNNNNNNNNNNNNNNNNNNNNNNNNNNNNNNNNNNNNNNNNNNNNNNNNNNNNNNNNNNNNNNNNNNNNNNNNNNNNNNNNNNNNNNNNNNNNNNNNNNNNNNNNNNNNNNNNNNNNNNNNNNNNNNNNNNNNNNNNNNNNNNNNNNNNNNNNNNNNNNNNNNNNNNNNNNNNNNNNNNNNNNNNNNNNNNNNNNNNNNNNNNNNNNNNNNNNNNNNNNNNNNNNNNNNNNNNNNNNNNNNNNNNNNNNNNNNNNNNNNNNNNNNNNNNNNNNNNNNNNNNNNNNNNNNNNNNNNNNNNNNNNNNNNNNNNNNNNNNNNNNNNNNNNNNNNNNNNNNNNNNNNNNNNNNNNNNNNNNNNNNNNNNNNNNNNNNNNNNNNNNNNNNNNNNNNNNNNNNNNNNNNNNNNNNNNNNNNNNNNNNNNNNNNNNNNNNNNNNNNNNNNNNNNNNNNNNNNNNNNNNNNNNNNNNNNNNNNNNNNNNNNNNNNNNNNNNNNNNNNNNNNNNNNNNNNNNNNNNNNNNNNNNNNNNNNNNNNNNNNNNNNNNNNNNNNNNNNNNNNNNNNNNNNNNNNNNNNNNNNNNNNNNNNNNNNNNNNNNNNNNNNNNNNNNNNNNNNNNNNNNNNNNNNNNNNNNNNNNNNNNNNNNNNNNNNNNNNNNNNNNNNNNNNNNNNNNNNNNNNNNNNNNNNNNNNNNNNNNNNNNNNNNNNNNNNNNNNNNNNNNNNNNNNNNNNNNNNNNNNNNNNNNNNNNNNNNNNNNNNNNNNNUGGGUCCAUCAACUAAGAGACUCUUGUUUGUUGCUUGAGGAUGGUGGCAGUAAAUUCUUUUCCAUGCAUGAUGUUGUUCGCGAUGUUGCCAUUUCAAUAGCACGUCGUGACAAAAUUGCAUUUGCGGUGAGAAAUGAGGAUGUGUGGAACUGGCCAGAUGCAGAUGCACUAAAAAAAUAUUUUGCAAUUUGUUUAAAAGAUAGUAUUAUUAAUGACAUUCCUGAAGUGUUGGAAUCUACACAACUUGAAUUUUUAUUCAUGUCACCCAAGAACUCUUUUGUUGGGCCCAAUGUUCCUGAGAACUUCUUCAAAAGGACGAAAAAGCUUCGGGUUUUGGAUUUGACUAGAAUGCGGUUAUUGUCAUUGCCAUCUUCAAUUGAUCUUCUAGUAAAUCUUCGGACACUUUGUCUUAAUCAAAGCAUUUUGGGAGACAUGGACACAGUAAUUAUUGGAAAGUUGGAAAAUCUGGAAAUCCUUAGCUUUGUGCGGUCUGAUAUUGUACAGUUACCUAAAGCACUAGGGCAACUGACUAAGCUAAGGCUGUUAGAUUUAAGAGACUGUUUCCAUCUAAAAGUUAUUGCCCCAAAUGUCUUAUCGAGCUUAAUCCGAUUAGAAGAAUUGUAUAUGGGUAAUUGCUCCGUUGAAUGGGAGCUUGAAAGAGCCAACAGUGAAAGAAGUAAUGCUAGCCUUGAUGAAUUGAUGCUUUUACCUUGGCUAAACACUCUAGAAAUUGAUGUUAAAAAUGACAGUAUUUUACCGGAAGGCUUUUUGGCCAGAAAGCUCGAAAGGUUCAAAAUAUCUAUUGGAAAUGGGUUAUUCAUGCAUCCCAUGAGUGUUGGACAACAUUGGUUUAAAAGUCGGCCGCGCUUUUCGAUCAACAGUGAUCGCAAGAGUUUAAGAUCAUUGAAGCUCAAGCUUGAUUUUAUGGACAUUUGCUCCAUGAAAUUGCAGGGCAUCAAUAACGUUGAAUGCUUAUGGUUGGACAAGCUGCAAGGCAUCGAGAAUGUUCUUUUCAAUUUGGACACGGAGGGCUUUUCACAAUUGAAGCUUCUCGGCGUUCAAAAUAAUCCUGACGUCUUUUGCAUUGUCGAUUCAAGGGAGAUGGUCGCUUGUGAUGCCUUUCCUCUUUUGGAGUCACUUGGCCUUCACAAUUUGAUCAACAUGGAGAGGAUAUGUAUUGAUCAGCUCAAAGUAGAGUCUUUCAACGAACUCAAAAUCAUACAAGCAUAUAAUUGUGAUAAAUUGAGUAAUAUCUUUUGGCUCUCUACAACAAAAUGCCUUCCAAGACUUGAGAGAAUUGCAGUUAUUAAUUGCAGCAAGAUGAAAGAGAUUUUUGCAAUUGGGGAAGAAGUUGAUAAUGCAAUUGAGAAGAUAGAGUUUGCUCAAUUAAGAUCUUUGAGUCUGGGGAAUCUUCCAGAGGUUACAAGUUUUUGCCGCCGUGAGGUGGAGACUCCUUCUGCAUCACCGAACAGACAAGUGUCACAAGAGGAAUCGACGACUAUGUAUUGCUCCAGCGAAAUCACUUUGGACAUUUCAACUCUGCUUUUCAACGAGAAGGUGCGUAGGCUAACAUUUUCUUUAUAUAUAUAUAUAUAACAGACUUUAUUCUAUCAUGCGUUCUGUUUUGAUGUCAUACGUGGAAAAUAAUUAAAUCAUUUAAAGAUUUGAAAGAAAAUGGAAAAAAGGAUAAAAAGAAUCUCACGCGCUCACUAAUUGAGCUCUUAACAAGUAGUAUGAAUUAGAAUGCAUUCUCAGCUGUCAGUUGGAAAUUGAUUCGGACUUGCAUUAAUUUGUAAUCAAAGAAGAAAAUUUCAACAAGUGCUUCCCAUAUGGAUAUUGGAUCUAACGAGAAAUUCUUAUUUUUUUAGGUUGCGUUGCCUAACUUGGAGGCUUUGGAGAUAUCUGAUAUUAAUGUCGACAAGAUUUGGCACUACAAUCAAAUUCCGGCGGCCAUGUUUCCUCACUUUCAAAGUUUAACACGAUUAGUUGUGUGGUGGUGUCACAAACUGAAAUACAUAUUUUCAGCGUCUAUGAUCGGAAGCCUUAAGCAGCUCCAACACCUAGAUAUACGAGACUGUAAGGAUUUACAGGAGAUCAUUUCUGAAAACAGAGCAGAUCAAGUGAAAAAUACAACCAAUAGCUCUGAUACCACUGUUAGGAAAUUGGUGGGUGCAGCAGGACCGCAACUAAAAUAAAAUUGGAAAUAAAAUAAAGAACAAGCACAAUAGAGGACACCAGAAAUUACGUGGUUCGGCUUUUAGCCUACGUCCACGGGCGAAGACAGAAGGAAAUAUUUUACUAGUGAAAAGGAGUUACAAGUAUUGUAGUAUUUUAGCUCACUUCCCAAAACCCCAAUACACCCAAACUCUCUAACUCACUAGACACUCAAGAGUUUAUUAAACUCUUAAAACUCUCAACACUCAAGAAAGCAAUGCUUCUCUCUCGAUGGAAAUUGAAUACAAAUGAAUGAGUGAGCACUUCCUUUUAUAGCCAAAAAAUGGCUAUUAAAUUAAUAUAUAUAUGUAUAUAUUUCAAAUGUAGUUACCAACUUCUUCUUUUUCUCCAUUUGGAUGGCAACAUUUUCUUUGGCCGGCUGCACCAUUUUCUUUUUUCAAAUGUCAAACCUGUGUGCUCAUUUUCCUUUCCAACUUGCUGCAAAAUUCCUCUUCUUUGAACAACAUGGAUGUUGACCAUCUAGAUGGCUGCUUUUGACAAUAUAUGUCUAAAAGGAUACCCGUAGCUCAAAUUAUGACCUCCAUAAGAUAUCUUACUCAUUCCACGCGACCAUCCUACAUCAACUUGCCUCUGCUUUGCAUCUUCCAGCACAGCUUAAAUGGGUUGAAGAUUUAUAGUAAGUCACAAGCAGUAAAGGAGUUCAGCUGCUCCAGAAGAGGGGAAGGGAUCGCAUCCGCCAUUCUGACAGAGAAAAGGAGAAAUAAUUUGUUAAGUGUGCUUUUAUUGCGAAAAUAAUGAAAGAAAGGAGCUCAUGCAUUCUUCUUAUACUGCAUGAAAAAUGUUUAUGCUUAUCCUUCCCACCCCACACGUCAAUAAUUUUAGCAUCUUUAAUUUCCCUGAUGCUACUCCACAGCUGUUGUACAUAAUUGUAAAUAUUCUCAAACUAAUUUGUAGUCGUCGGGUCAGUGCCAUUUAAAACAAGAACAAAAAACCAAAAUAAUAGUAAUAAUAAUAAUAAUAAUAAUAGUUGAAAAAAGCAUCCGUCACCAGAUUAUUUAUUUAUUUGUUUGAGGAUGCGGAUAUUUUCUACCCACUUAUUUUGCAAAUCCACCCUGCUGUCAGAAAAUAAUUUAGUAAGUUCAUACUAUUUUUAAAAUAUGUAAAUUGAUAAAAUGUUUAGACAAUUAAUAAAUUAAAUCAUUCUUAUAUAUAUAUAUUUUUAACUUAGGUAUCUUUGACCAUUUAGGUUGCUUUAAUUUAAAAUAAAUUUUAUUUGACUAUUUGACCAUAAUAAUAUAAAAUGACUGAAAUGCCCCAAGAAUCAUGAACUCUUGUAUAAAAUAGCUUAAUAAUUUUAUUUUAUUUGAUUCAAUCUCCAAAUUUCUUCUUUAUUUGAAUUUUUAAAAAAAUAAUUAGAACUUAUUGUAAUUAUUUCUAGGGAGUGGGGUGGGUUUAUAAAAAUUAGAGGCCUUUUUGUUUAUUAAUUGUUGUAAAAUGUGUAUCUAUCAUAUAAACACAUGCUUUGUCUAUAUCAGCCUUGAGCGCGACCUUUUUUUCCAUCUUCACUGUGUUAUAUGAUAAACUUUAACUUAUCCCCUACUUAGAAUGAUAAUCUUUAAUUUACCUCUAAAAAAUGUGAAACAUCAACUUAAUCUAAUUACCAUUAAGAAGACAAUAUAUAAUCAUUCUCAAGUGCGGACACUUUCAUUUUUUUUAAUGCAAACAUGCUGCUAAGCCAUGUGACAUAAUAAAGUUAAUCGUGCGGUUUAACAAAUAUUAAAAAUUCACGGUUUAAUACCGUGUCUGUAUAAAAAAGUGAGGGCGCUCAUACUAGACAAGAACUCUGUAUGUGUGUGUACACAUACAUAUCAAUGCACCCCAUCAUCUUUUGUUGAAUAAAAAUACGGAUAAAUUGAGAGUAUUAUACUUUGAGGAGUAAAUUGAAGAUUGUUAUUGUUAUUCCUAGUAGGCAAUAAAAAGAAGUUUAUCUGUAAUAGAUAUCAGGUAUUUCAGGUAGGCCAAAAAAGUAGUGGUUCGGUAAUCAAUUUCUUUUGUUCUUUUAAUUAAUUAGAAAAGAAAAAUUAUGGGGAGCUUUUGUCUAUUGAAUUGAGCUUCUGUCAAGAAAAGUACGUAUCGGAUGAUCAAUAUAUAACCUUUCAAUAAUAAAUUUGUUAGACUUAUUGUUAUUUUUGUGACUUAAAAGUAUGAGAGGAAGUAAGCGGGCAUUCGGUAUUGUUUUUUACUGGCCAUUCUCAUUUUACUUUUGUAAAUUCAAGUAAAAUUAGCGUUCAGUAGUCCUUCUCAUAACAUUUAAUUGUAAAACACAGAAUCUAACUUGCCGUUAACAGUUGUAAAUUACAAAACAACUGAUACAUGUUUUACUUAUUUUAUAAAAAAAAAAUUGUAAAAUAAAUUACAGUAAUAAAUACGAUUAUAAUAAAUAAUAAUAGUCUCCAUCUUUAAGUCUCCAGGACCUCAUCCAUCUCACUAACCCUAUCUCUUAAGUCUCAUCUUCCUCCGUGAUUUAUGAACUGAAUCUCCUUCUUCCAUUCUUCUUCCUCGGUUUGUUCUAUUUUUACUUCAUAGUACUUUCUUUUUUGCUGGGUUUUUUUUUUUUUUUUGGAUGGAUUUAUGUGUUCUUAUACAUUUUCUUGAAUUUCAUUUUGAUAAAAUCACCAAAGAUCAGUAGAGAUUUACAUUAUUUAUCUGAGUAUUUGGUUCUUUAAUGGACGCAAGCAAGUAAUCUUUCUCCCAUAAGUUUUUAUUUGAUCAAAUGUUAAAAUGUUGAACGGAGAAUUAGAUUUUUUUUUUUAAAUAAACGGAGAAUUAGAUUUAAAAUCUUAUUCCUAUUUAUGUCCAGUUCAAAUCUUUUUAGCAAAUGAUCUAAUCUCAAGCAUAGAAGGUAGGAAGAUAGAUUGAACAGUGAACACAUUAACAAAAAAAAGUUAUUUAAAAAAAUUAAUAUUUUAUAUCACAAAAUUUCAUUAUUAUUAUUGUAAGUUGGUAUAUUGAAAAAUAAACAAAAUUUUAUAUAAACUUUAACACAAAUAUAAUUCGCAUGUAGUAAAAUUGUUUAAUAUAUCCAUUAUUUUAUCAUUUUUAACUUUAUCUAUCAAAUGUGUAUUGUUAUUUUCAUUUUAAAAAAUAAGAUAAAUAAAAUAAUACCGAAUACAUAUUUCAAUAAAAAAUUUAUUGAAAACAUCAUUUUCUUUCUCAUAAUAUAAAUUUAAAAAUAAAAUACAGAACAUGCCCUAACAUUUUCUGAAUUUAUUUUUAUACUGUAAAAGGAUCAAAUUACUCACAAAGUUAUUUUAGCUUUCAUGAUAUAAACAAAUAAUCAUCAUUUAAUUUCAAUAGAAAGAAAUAUUCUGGGUAGAAUUGACUUCUUUAGUAAAAUAUAACCUAUUUGGGACUUCUUACUCUAUUAGGUUAAUAAUGCAUCGAUUGUCACAUCAUUAAUUUUAGAUUAUAAAUUUAUAUUCAAACUUUGUAAGAUCAUCAUUUCUCCUUUUUUAUUUUUUUUAAAAAAAUAACUUCUUGCAUGAUCUAAUUGGUCUCGUUUCAAAAGAAACCCAAAAAAAAAAAAAUUAACUAAAGUAAAAGGAAAUAAAUCAUAUUACUUAUCUUAAUUACUUUCAUUUGUUAUCGACAUGUACUCAUGCAUUGUGUUUUUGUAUAUUUUAUUGAUACGUUUCUCUUAAGGGAUAAAACUCAUUGUGUGGCAAAAUUUUAUUGGUGCUGGGAUUAUUUAUAUAUGUUCUAGUACUUUGAGCAUCUUACUAUGCACUCGUCUAUAUUUAACAUUAAUUUUUACUACUCAUUGAAAUAUCAAAAUAGUCCAUACUAAACAUCUUUCAUUAAUGUUCUUUAUUUAUUUUUUUUUUUUGGAUACACUAAUAUAUUAUAAUUAGAGUUCGUAAGAGAGUGUAUUGCAAGAAAAGAAGUGCAAAUCAAGUAUAUAAAAUCACAAGAUCAAGCAGCUAAUAUCUUCACCAAGCCGCUCAAGUAGGAAGACUUCGUAAGAUUCAGAAGUUUGCUUGGUGUCACAGGAUCAAGUUUAAGGGGUUGUUGGAUCAUAAACUUGAUUCAAGAUGAAUAAAUUCAAGCCCAACUCAUGGAAGGUUUCAUGAGUAGGUGUGGUUGGUGAGGUUUGAAUUAUUUGUGUUAGGUGUGGUAGGUUUGGUAGGUGAAGAUGGAUGGUUAUUAAUUUUUUGUAAUUUCUUAUUUGAAUGGUUAUGAUUAGCUUGUUUCAUGUAUAAAUACCUCCUCUCCCCUUUGGUUUAAACAUCAAGUGAGUAAAAAAAUCUCUAAGUUGUAGAGAGUGAAAAAUAAGAGUUGUAGUUGGCGAGAAGUGUUGUUGAAGAAAUAAAAUAGUGUGUUUUUUCAAUGUUAUAUGUGUUAAUUCUCCAACAAAGUGGUAUCAGAGCUAGUGUUCGAUGCUAUAUAUAGUCAUCUAGCAUAUCAAAUCGAAGAUCGUGGCGAGAGGAACAUGACGCCGCAAACAUCAUCCCGAUCAGAGACCGAAUGCGUCCACACUCGCUGUCGGAAUUUUUAUGUCCUGAAGUUGAGUCGACUCACCGAGUUGAAUUAAGCUGAGCCGAACCGAACCGAACCAAGCUGAGCUGAGCUGAGCUGAACUGAAUCAAGUCGAACGGAACCAACUCGAGCCGAACCAAGACUACUAAGCCGACGUUGACCGUUGACCGAUGUUGACCACUGACCAGUGUUGACCAUUGAUUGAAAGUUGACUCGCGUCCUUCCCAAGGUUUUUCGACGUGCCGAAUCCAUCCAUGCAUUCUGAAUCUCAAAAUUCUCACUCAAUUUGUGAGUUAUGACAAAUGGUGGUAUGAUGUUAUUUCAAGUUCCACAAUUAAAGGGAAGAAAGUUUGACAAUUAGAGUAUUAAAAUGAAGACUCUAUUGGGUGCACAUGACGUAUGGGAUGUCAUGGAGAAAGGCUUUAUUGUGCUAGAAAAUGAAGCCACUUUAACUACAGCGCAGAAGGAGAAUUUUAAAGACUUGAAAAAGAAAGAGAAUAAAGCAAAGUAUCUCAUCUUUCAAUCAUUAGAUGAAGAUACUUUUGAAAAGAUUGCUAGUACAACCUCCUCAAAAGAAGCAUGGGAGAAACUAGAGACCUCUUACAAAGCAGCAGGGCAAGUUAAGAAAGUUAGUCUCUAAACAUUACGAGGAGAAUUUGAGUCCUUACAUAUAAAGGCGUCUGAGUCAAUUUCUGACUACUUUACUCGAGUUGUGACCGUUUCUAAUGAAUUAAAAAGAAAUGGCGAGGAGUUAAAAGAGGUAAGGAUCAUUGAAAAGAUACUUCGAUCAGUAGACUCGAAGUUUGACCAUAUUGUUGUGACAAUUGAGGAGACAAUAAAUCUGAAGGAUAUGACGAUCAAGCAACUUUAAGGAAGGUUGCAAGCUUAUGAAGAAAAACUAAAAAAGAAAUAAGGAAUCAAAGAACAACUUCUCAAGAUGGAAGUCAAUCCAAAGAAAAGAAAAGAAAGCUCCGACAAUGAGAGAAGGUACUAUGUCCGAGGUAGAGGUCAUGGUCAUGGUCAUGGACGAGGUUGAAAUUUCAACAACAAUAACUCCAAUUAUGCCAAAGGAGAAAGCUCAACCAGAGGACGAGGCAGAGGCAAUCCAAGAUCGAGGUAUGACAAAUCCCAAGUACAGUGUUAUAAUUGUCAAAAGUUUGGCCAUUGUGGUUCAGAAUGCAGAGCUCCAAGCACCAGAAUUGAGGAGAGAGUGAAUUAUGUUGAAGAGAAAAAUGGUGAAGAUGGUACACUUUUACUAGCAUGCAAUGACACAAGUGGAGGUCAAGAAAAUACAUGGUAUCUUGACACAGGUGCUAGCAAUCAUAUGAAUGGAAACAUAAGUAUGUUCAUGGAACUAAGUGAAUCUGUGAAUGGCAGUGUCACUUUUGGAGAUGAUUCAAAAGUACUAGUGAAGGGUAAAGGUAACAUUCUUUUUCGUGCAAAAUAUGGUAGCCACCAAAUAAUUUUGAAUGUUACUAUGUACCCAAUAUGAAAAGCAACAUCCUUAGUUUAGGUCAACUCUUGGAAAAAUGCUAUGAUAUUCACUUAAAAGACUGUACUCUUUUCCUAAGAGAUGACAAAGGAAAUUUAAUCACAGGUGAUAAAAUGUUGAAGAAUAGAAUGUUUCCUUUACAUAUUCAAAAUGAUGUUGCAAAUUGCCUCAAAGCCUAUCACAAAGAUCCAUCUUGGAUUUGACAUCUUCGAUAUGGGCAUCUCAACUUUGAAGGACUGGAACUACUAUCCAAGAAGAACAUGGUGAAAGGUUUACCAUACAUCAAUCACCCUGAUCAACUUUGUAAAGGAUGUUUACUUGGCAAGCAGUUCAGAAAGAGCUUUCCAAAUGAGUCAAACUCAAGAGUUUAGAAGCCACUCGAGCUCACUCAUACUGAUGUGUGCGGUCCAUUCAAGCCAAGCUCCCUUGGUAAAAGUAACUACUUCCUUCUCUUCAUGGAUGAUUUUUCAAGAAAAAUUUGGGUGUAUUUUUUGAAGCAAAAAUCAGAAGUCUUUGAAGCAUACUCAAGAUUAAGAAAGUUCCAAGAUCCCCCCAACAAAAUGGUGUUGUAGAAAGAAAGAACAGAACCAUCCACGACAUGGCAAGAAGCAUACUCAAGAUUAAGAGGCUACCGAAAGAAUUUUGGGUUGAAGCUAUUUCAUGUUCAGUCUACUUAUCUAAUUGUUCUCCAACAAGAAGUGUGUGGGGCAAAACGCCACAAGAAACUUAGAGUGGAAGAAAGCUCGACAUCGCCCAUCUAAGAGUUUUUGGAAGCAUUGCCCAUGUACAUGUACCAGACAAAAGUAGAGCUAAGCUGGAUGAAAAAAGUGAGAAGUUUAUCUUCAUCGGCUAUGACAACAACUCCAAAGGAUACAAGCUUUACAAUCCAAACAUCGGGAAGAUCGUGAUCAGUCGAGAUGUAGUUUUUGAUGAAGAAAGAGAAUGUGAUUUUGGAUCUGGUGUGGAUGACUUCAACUUCUUUCUCAUUGAAGAAGAUGAUCAUACACAGAUAAAACAAGUAGAAAAAUGACAAGAGCCAGCUACUCCACCUAUCUCUCCAGCAUCAAUCACAUGUGGAGAUUCACCGCCAUCUUUCUUAAAUGAAAGAACCGAAGAACGUACAAGGAGUCUUCAAGAUCUCUAUGAGGUAACUGAGAGACAUGAUAAUCUCACUCUUUUUUGCCUCUUUGCUGAUUGUGAGCCAGUCAACUUCCAAGAAGCUGCACUAGAUGAGAAGUGGAGAAUUGCAAUGGAUGAAGAAAUCAAAGCCAUUGUGAAGAAUGAUACUUGGGAGCUUACUACUUUUCGCAAAGGGCAUAAGGCGAUCGGUGUCAAAUGGGUGUACAAAAUGAAAAGAAAUGUGAAAGGAGAAAUUAAAAGGCACAAGGCGAGGCUAGUUGCAAAAGGCUAUAGUCAAAAGGCUGGCAUAGACUAUGACGAGGUAUUUGCUCCUGUAGCUCGACUUGAAACUAUUAGACUUAUUAUUUCUUUGGCUGCUCAGAACAAAUGGAAGAUUUUCAAAUGGAUGUGAAGUCUGCUUUCUUGAAUGGAUUCCUUGAAAAAUAAGUUUACAUCAAACAACCAUUAGGCUAUGUGGUGAAAAGACAUGAAGACAAAGUUUUGAGAUUGAAGAAAGCUCUUUAUGGGUUAAAGCAAGCACCAAGGGCAUGGAAUAGCAUAAUUGACAAGUAUUUUCAAGAGAAUGGCUUCACCAAAUGCCCAUAUGAACAUGCUCUCUACGUCAAAGAAAAAGAUUGAGACAUUUUGAUUGAGUGCUUGUAUGUGAAUGAUCUCAUCUUCAUUGGAAGUGAUCCAAGCUUAUUUGAAGAGUUCAAGAGAGUGAUAAUCAAAGAGUUCGAGAUGACUGACAUCGGACUGAUGGCAUAUUACCUCGACAUUGAAGUCAAGCAAAAUGAAGUAGACAUAUUUAUCUCCCAAGAAAGCUAUGUAAAAGAGAUUCUCAAAAGGUUCAAGAUGAAUCUUAUUUUUCUUAAAAUUUUCCUUUUGUCUGCUGUACGGCCAAGGCGGAUGUACGGUACAGCAGACAUCAAAGGUACAAUUAAUUUCGGCUUGUUAUACUCAUUUUCUAAUGACUACAAGCUUGUUGGAUAUAGCGAUAGCCAUUAGAGUGGAGAUGUAGAUGAUCAAAAGAGCACCACAUGAUUUGUGUUCUUCAUGGGAGAUACUACUUUCACACGGAUGUCAAAGAAACAACCAAUUGUCACGCUAUCCACCUGUGAAGCUGAAUAUGUAGCUACCACAUCAAGUGUUUGUCAUGCAAUUUGGCUCAUAAAUUUGCUGAAGGAGUUGAGUUUGCCACAAGAAGAGCCAAGCGAGAUUUAUGUUGAUAACAAAUCAACAAUUGCUCUAUCCAAGAAUCCAGUCUUUCAUGAUCGAAGCAAACACAUAGAUGCUCGCUAUCAUUUCAUAAGAGAGUAUAUUGCAAGAAAAGAAGUACAAAUCAAAUAUGUAAAAUCACAAGAUCAAGCAGCUGAUAUCUUCACCAAGCCGCUCAAGCAAGAAGACUUCGUAAGAUUCAGAAGUUUGCUUGGUGUCACAGGAUCAAUUUUAAGGGGGGUGUUGGAUCAUAAACUUGAUCCAAGAUGAAUGAAUUCAAGCCCAACUUAUGGAAGGUUCCAUGAGUAGGUAUGGUUGGUGAGGUUUGAAUUAUUUGUGUUAGGUGUGGUAGGUUUGGUAGGUGAAGAUAAAUGGUUAUUAAUUUUUUGUAAUUUCUUAUUUGAAUAGUUAUGAUUAGCUUGUUUUAUGUAUAAAUACCCCAUCUCCCCUUUGGUUUAAGCAUCAAGUGAAGUAACAAAAUCUCUAAGUUGUAGAGAGUGAAAAAUAAGAGUUGUAGUUGGUGAGGAGUGUUGUUGAAGAAAUAAAAUAGUGUGUGUUUUUAGUAUUAUAUGUGUUAAUUCUCCAACAGUAAUAUUCUUUAUUUAAAUCCUAACAAAUGGUGGGAUUUGGACUUGUGGCUACAAACAUUGAGUCCUCAGCGGCUGCAAAAUUUCAUAACUUAAUUUUAGUUGACGUGGCAUGUGUCCUAUCACAUAAAUGCAGAUAAUAAUUAUCAAUACAUUAACCAAAUGAAAAUUAUUAGUUUAAAAAUUAAAAAUCUGAAUUUUUUGUUUGUGGGAGGGAAUUUAAAAGGGAGGGACUAGACAAAUGUGGUGACAAAUGACAUGCAUUACCAAAAUUGAGAAUACUAAGUCAAGGCAACUGAAAACAUCUUUGUCAAUUGCAAUGAACCGAGCACAACCAUUCAUAAUUAACCCCAAAAAAAAAUCAAACUACUAAUGGAGGGGCACAAGUAUAUCUAUAAAUAAAAGCCAUGUUUAGGCCAUUUGGACAUGAAAAUAAUGCUGCUGUACGGCCAAGGCGGAUGUACGGUACAGGAAAAUUAACAAAAAGUGUCAAAAGGGAAGCAUUAAACACAACAUUGAAGCACUGACCCAAAAUCCCAGAGCAACCAAAUCCCGUAAAAUUAUAAUAAAGCAUCAAAACCGAAACAACAAAACUAAUCACAAACUGAACAAUCUGACAAUCAGUGACCAAUCUCUUCCACUCACUACUAGAAAAAUGGUCUUUACUAACAUUAGAAUAGUGUCAGUAAUUACUUUUAGUGACACUUACUAAUUGUGUCAGUAAUCUGGCAGUCAGAAAAAUAGUGACACUUGUAAGUGGUGUCAGUGAUUACUAUUACUAUAGCAUCACUAAAAUCAUAACACCAUGGUAUCAAAAUAUUACAAUACUAUAUUAGUAUUUGUGAUUACUGUUACUAUAGUAUCACUACUUUAUGUAUUAUUUAAAAAAAUAAUUAUAUAAAAUGACAUAUUGCCCAUUGAUUUGUUGAUAGAAUUAAAAGACUGUGAGAAAUAAGAACAAAAAUCAAUUUAUAUAUCAAAACCUUUCAUAACAUUUAAAUAUUAUCAAUAUAUAUUACACAAUCCAAAUACUUCAAUACACAAAGACGUCUUACUACAAGACAUCUUAUUCUUAUAAUUGAAUAAUCUUAACUGCUAUUAUCCAAUCAAAUUCCUUCUACUCGUAGCUGAAUUUAAGGGCUAAAUUUACCAAAUCUAAAAGCUAAAUUUAGAAGGAUUAUUAUUUUUCACUCCAUGAACAUAAGUACUGCAAUCAUGCAUUAUCACGAACAUCUUCUUCAUUCACGGACAGCUUCUUCAUUCGAUAAAUUUGAUGGGUUAGGGAUAUAAGUUGAAGAAGAAACACUUUAAACAUAUUAAUCAUAUCUGCAAACAAAUAAAAGAAAAAGGAAAAGAAAUUGGUUGCCAAAUUCCAACAGUUGCAAAAUAAAUUAACAAGCAAUACAGAGACAAAAGUUAAUAGAAAUAAACAUAUUUUGCUCGAAAAUAUUUUAUAUUUGUCUAUUUUCGUAAAUUUGUGAUGUUUAGGGCUACUAUGUUAGGGGCGCAAAACCCUAAUUUUAUUAAUUCAAACUUUUUCAAUAAAACAUUCAUUAUUGAGAAGCUUUGUUUCUCUUAUCAAUCAAAUUCUUAUGUUUUCACACUACUAGAAAAAUGAUCUUUACUGACUUUAGAAUAGUGUCAGAAAUUACUUUUACUGACACUUAUUAAUUGUGUCAGUAAUCUGGGAGUCAGAAAAAUAGUGACACUUGUAAGUGGUGUCAGUGAUUACUAUUACUAUAGUAUCACUAAAAUAAUAACACCAUGGUAUCAAAAUAUUACAAUACUAUAUUAGUAUUUGUGAUUACUGUUACUAUAGUAUCACUACUUUAUUUAUUUUUUAAAAAAUAAUUAUAUAAAAUGACAUGUUGCCCAUUGAUUUGUUGAUAGAAUUAAAAGGCUGUGAGAAAUAAGAACAAAAAUCAAUUUAUAUAUCAAAACCUUUCAUAACAUUUAAAUAUUAUCAAUAUAUAUUACACAAUCCAAAUACUUCAAUACACAAAGACGUCUUAUUACAAGACAUCUUAUUCUUAUAAUUGAAUAAUCUUAACUGCUAUUAUCCAAUCAAAUUUCUUCUACUCGUAGAUGAAUUUAAGGGCUAAAUUUACCAAAUCUAAAAGCUAAAUUUAGAAGGAUUAUUAUUUUUCACUCCAUGAACAUAAGUAUUGCGAUCAUGCAUUAUCACAGACAGCUUCUUCAUUCGAUGAAUUUGAUGGGUUAGGGAUAUAAGUUGAAGAAGAAACACUUUAAACAUAUUAAUCAUAUCUGCAAACAAAUAAAAGAAAAAGGUAAAGAAAUUGGUUGCCAAAUUCCAACAGUUGCAAAAUAAAUUAAAAAGCAAUACAGACACAAAAGUUAAUAGAAAUAAAUAUAUUUUGCUCGAAAAUAAAAAAAUUCAUAAGCUAUGAACAGAUCAACUCAAUUAUCUUAAAGGAAAAUUAGAGAAUAAGAAUGUUGUAACUCAUUUGAUUAGAAAUAAGGUAGAAUAUAUUUAACUAUAGAUAUAAAUUAAAAAAAAAAAAAGGUGAUGAUGAAUUCAUUCUCUUAUAUAUAUAUGAAUAAGAGAGAGUGAGAGAGCAAAUUAUAGCAUUCAAAUUUUCAGUAUAACAUCUAGUUUCAAGAAAGUGUGUUUAUUUCUCAUUAUAUAAAAAAUAAUGAUUUUCCAGCUAAAAAAAAUUCAUAAUAAAAUUUAAUAUCUAAUACAACAUAGUAUGUUUUUUUUUUCAAAAAAAUGCUUGCAAUUAUGUCUUUUAGCCACCAAGCCUAAGUGUGAGAGUAAAGCAUUUAACUCUUGAUAAUUACACACUUUCUGCAUAAUGCAAUUAGUGUCAACUCAUUCUAAAUUACUCUACUUGAAUAAUAAAACAUUUCAGCCAUUGUAUUGAUGGAGCUACUAAUCCAGAAUAUUCACAAUAAAUAUAGAGUUCAAGGCAAUUAAGAGAUGUACCUCUUAAAGCUAUGCAUAUUCUCUAUCUUUCUAAGGCAAUCUUUAAUUCAUAUAGUUCCACCCCCUUUGAAUUCACAAACCAAGACUUUACAAACAAAGGCCUUAUAUCAUUAAUCUUNNNNNNNNNNNNNNNNNNNNNNNNNNNNNNNNNNNNNNNNNNNNNNNNNNNNNNNNNNNNNNNNNNNNNNNNNNNNNNNNNNNNNNNNNNNNNNNNNNNNNNNNNNNNNNNNNNNNNNNNNNNNNNNNNNNNNNNNNNNNNNNNNNNNNNNNNNNNNNNNNNNNNNNNNNNNNNNNNNNNNNNNNNNNNNNNNNNNNNNNNNNNNNNNNNNNNNNNNNNNNNNNNNNNNNNNNNNNNNNNNNNNNNNNNNNNNNNNNNNNNNNNNNNNNNNNNNNNNNNNNNNNNNNNNNNNNNNNNNNNNNNNNNNNNNNNNNNNNNNNNNNAAACUCCACAGAAAGCAAAGAUUAACCUCGAAGGAGAGCAACAACCACAAGAAUCAGGGGAAAUAAAAACUGAGGAAUCAGCAUUGAUGGACUCAGCUACAGCUUCAUUGACUGACCCCCUUCAGAGCUCCAGAAUUGAAACUACGAAAGUGGCUGAACAAGUCGGCGAAGGGAGAGAACCAAAAGGCAGCACUGAAGAAAAUCAAACCAAAGAACCAGAAGCCAUUCAUGUAGAAGAUGCAAAAAUGGAUGAAGAACAAGACGAAGAUGAACAUAAAAGGAUAGACUCAAGCUCUGAUGCUCCAGUCAUGAUUGAAGCCAAAAGAGAUGCUGUGGAUGUUAGGGUUGCACAACUUGGUCACUGGCAAAUGAUGAGGAACCUAUUUGAAAUAAUCUGAAACUAAUGUAUCGUUAUUUACUAAAAAUAAAAAUAUAGGGAACUCAAUGUUAUUCACUCGAUAAUCAAAUAUUUCGAUUUCUCAUAGUUACAUGUCACCUUUCGCAAGUCACAGGACUCGUUGUGACUCGAGUCGCUUCCUUCCCUUUUGCUUGCAGUCUCCGCCCAUUUUUGUAGCACAGAAAAAAAAAACUAAUUUUUAUUUUUCAAUUCAAAGUCUGUGACUCUCAUCGAUCCCUAUAACACAACAAAACAACAAAAUUUAACACGGAAAAAAAAAGGAAUGUGUAAGCAAGUAUUCAAGAGAAUAGAAGAAAACCGAGCAUACUGAGUUACUUGGAGCUCCGAGACCUUUCGAAGAUCGAAUUAGCAGAAGAAAACAAAACUUCAGCUAACAAGAAAUCCCGAGAAGUCGAAAUGAGAGGGGCGGUGUGCACUCGAGUAGGGUGAGCAAAAUGUGGAGAUCUAAAGCGGGUCUCGUGAGCUUGUGGCAUAGCGGCAUGGUGGAUGUUUUAGGGUUUCGAGAUCGUUAGGGUUUCGUAUGGUAUGGGUCUUAGAAUUUGAGCAGUGGUGUUAGGAUUUCUUAUGGCAUGGACCCUUGAAUUUUAGGGCUCGAAGUUUUAUAGGUAUGAAGAAGAAGAAGGAUAUCGCCAGAGAGAUGAGGCGGCUGGCCAUGGAUUUAAGAGUUAGGGAAUUUUAUGUUUAUGUUGAUUUAGGGUUUCUUGCUUUUGCUUUUAUAUUGUUGUUUUCUAUAUUAAUUUAAUUUGAUAAUUUCAACAUGUUCACCACAAACAAAUUUAUGAAUUUUGCCUGGUGGUUUGUUCGUUGAACAUAAAGCACUUUAGUUUUGAGGUCCUAGGUUCGAGUCGCAACUAAAACAAAAAUAGAAUUUUUUUUUGUUUCUGAUACCUUAGUGUCGACGAUCUCUGAUGUUUAAUGUACAAACACCAUAGAAUCAGUAAUUUGUGACACUUGUUUGUUAAACACAGAAAAUGACCCAAAUAUAUGUAAUUACUGAUACUUUUUAGAAAAGUGUCACAAGACAAGUAUCAGUAAAAGCUAUUUUUCUAGUAGUGACUUUGGCAGCAACCCCAUCACGCACAAUAGAUAGUACCCGUACAUGAUCACAUGCACACUUGCAUUGGUGACAAGUGCAAUAGGGAACAAAGACUGCUUCGUCUGUAACCAAAGGUAGCACAUUACGACAACAGUUGCAUGGUGGUAGACGUGGAGGAACGUGAGACGUUGGAUGGAGUUUGACAAAAUAAUCAAAAGGGUGUCUAAGAAUUCGUGUAUUUUGGAGAGGUAGAAGAUGUAAGCGUGGAAGAAGAGAGGGCCAGAUGGAGAAAUGGUAGGGGGAAACAGAGGGUGUAGCGGAGGUGGGGUAAAUGGAGGAUGAUGGAGAGAGUGCAACCAACGGCCAUGACGAGGGAGGGAGGAGGAGGGUGGGGUUGUGGACGGCUGUGAUGGGCUUGAGGAUGUGGGGUCCAAAGAGAGGUGAUGAUGAUGGUGAUGUUGACGUUAAUGUGUGGUAGAGGAUGAAUGUGAGAGAGAGGUAAGUGAGGAUGGAGAGAAUGAGGAAGUGUGGGCAGGAAGCUGGGGUUUGGUUUUGAGUCCAUGUGAAGUUGAGGAUUUGUGGGUGGUUUACAAGCCAAUAUUGAAGUGUUGAGGUUAGGGAUGGAAAACAGCGGGCCUGGGCUGGGCUUUUUCAAGCCCAUGUCCAGGCCCUCUGUCAGUUAGGGGUAUGGGCUCGGGUCGGGCUUGGGCUUUAUUUAUUUAUUUUAAAAAUUUUAAAUUAUUGUAAAUUUGAAAUAAAUUAAUGACCAACAAGUUAUUACAAUCAUAGAUAAAUUAAAGAAAAUGAAUAUUUCAAAUUAAAAUAAUAAAUAAAGCAAAUAAAAACUCAUAACUUUAAUUUUCUUUAAUACUGGAUUUUCUAAUUCAAAUGCUCUCUUAAUUAAUUGACACAAAAGAGAGAAUUUAAUAUCAUAAUUUUAGUUUUUUUGAAUCAUAAUUGAUUUAUAAGUUAAGAAUUUAAGUUUUCUUUUUUAUUUUUAAAUUACUUUUCAAUUUUAAUAUAUUAUUCUAAUUUAUAAAAUUAUUUUUUUUAAAAGUAGUGGGCUUGGGCUUUGUCCGGGCUUUUUUUCUUAGGCCCUUGUCCAGGCCCUCAUGGGUGAGGGCCGGGCCUAAGCCCGUGGACUUGGGCUGGGCCCGAGCGGGCUUGGGCCGGCCCGGGCUUUUUUGCCAUCCCUAGUUGAGGUGUUUGAAUUUGAAGCCAUGGCUGGUUUUUGGGGGAAGAAAGAUUUGGAAGAGAUGAUGUUGAGAGGAAUGGGGGAGUUUAGAAAGUUUUGGGAUAACGUGAGGGGUAUUUUGGGCAUAUGUAGUUGUCUUAGCUUAAUUUUUGUUAAAAAGAAAUAAUAAUAAUAAUAAUAAAGGAUCCUCUUUUCUCAUGUCAAUUUAAAUCUCCGAGUGUGUUUCCAACAGUUGCUUUUCUUUUUCUAUUUUUGCAUUUUGAAUCAUAAUUUUUCAAUUCAAUAAUGGCCUCUUGAAUUGUAAAAUAUGGUAAAAAGGGGGUGGGGUGUAGUGUCUAGGCCUCUGUGAGUGUGACAAGGGUAUCUUUGGACGUGGGUGUCAUGUCAUUAGAUUUUUUUGGCUAUUUCUGCUCAAUCAAACCUGUGGAUUACAUGCACUCAACGUGGAACCCUUUUGAAUGAACGUAAUGGUUUUGCUGGGAUCACCGAAACCCAAGAAGCAUGGAACUGGGACCAAUUUGUUGACAAAAAUUGAAGUACAUCAAGUAAGGAUUUCCACAAUCGGGCUAGAAAGGACAACUGAAAUCCGGUAAGAGUUUCGUAGAGCAUAAUUUUUAAGAUACGACGUUAGAGUAUUUACUAGACAUUCAUAAUUAUUAAUUAAAUUGAUCUAAUCUCCCACUCUAAUAUAAAAAACUUAAAAUAUUUUUUAAUAAUUUUAUCGAAACUAUUAUUUGACAAUCAUAUUUACUUCAUAAUAUCAACAUUUAUAUUAUAAUUACAGCUAAUACUAAACAAGAACUCCAGUAUGAUAAAGUAAUUAAAAGUUAUGGUUUUUUGGCAUAACAAGAUGAUUCAAACUUAAACUUGCAUCAAAAGUGUAUCAAAGAAAUCACAAAGACGCUCUGUUUGACAAAUCUACAGCAGAAUUUGUAAAAUUUAACUGGGUUACAGAGAGUGAAUAAGACAUUGUUAACGUCAUUAUUUAUAGAGUUGUAAUUUUAUAGCAAGUCUAGUUAAAUUGGAAGUUUAUUUAUUGCAUAUCUUGUAAUAGGGAUUAAUUUAUUAAUUCCCUAAUUUAGUGAGAUUCCAAUUUAUUAGGAAUAUUUGUUUCCUAAUUUAAUUAGAUGUCUAAUUUAGAAAGUCAGUUAGUAAUGGGAUUUUAUAAGGCAAGAAUAUCAAAUUUAUUCUUAUUCAGAUUCAUAGGAAUUAUAAGAGGAAAGAAACUCUUAUUUGGAAAGAAUCCAAGUCUUUUAAGACUUGCUAUUUUGGUGAAACUUUAGUGCCUAUAUAAAGAGAGGUAUUUCACAAUUGACGUUUGAUCGCACAACACAGAGCAUAAAGCAGAGAAGCAAAAUUCGGCCUCCUCCCUAGAGAAUCCAGAUUUGGCGCACCAUGUUGUGUUGAUUUGUUUUCUUAUCUUCUUUUCAUCUCUGUGGAGAGUGUAUGUGGAUCUUGGAUCACUAAACGUUGAAGAAUUGAAGAAUUGAAGACUUGCUAUUGAUCACUUUGUGAAGUACCUUGAGUUUUCUUAUCUUCUUUUCAUCUCUGUGGAGAGUGUAUGUGGAUCUUGGAUCACUAAACGUUGAAGAAUUGAAGAAUUGAAGACUUGCUAUUGAUCACUUUGUGAAGUACCUUGAGUUUUCUUAUCUUCUUUUCAUCUCUGUGGAGAGUGUAUGUGGAUCUUGGAUCACUAAACGUUGAAGAAUUGAAGAAUUGCUAUUGAUCACUUUGCGAAAGUACCUUGAGGAUCGUGGAUCAAGAGGGGUAGCAAUUAUUCAAGAGAAGUAGAUUCAGUCCAAGGUUGAGUAAACUGUAUGAUGAUAAACUGUAAGUGAGAGUCUUAAAUUUGGUAAAUCCAUAGGUUGUAACAUCUCAACUUAGUGAAUUGCUUUUCAUCUGGGCAUGACCUCGUGGAUGUAGGAUUGAUUAAUCCGAACCAUGUAAAAAUCUCCGUGUCAUUUAUUAUCUGCAUUUUAUUGUGUUUUUGGAAAUUUAAUAUUUUUGAUGCGGAUGAACAGUUCUUGUGAACAGUUGCAGUGAACAGUAACGGUAAACAGUAAUAGUAAGCAGUACUUCCGAAAAAUUAAUUAAGUAAUUAAUUUUUUAUUUUUAAUUGCCUACAUCUAUUUGUGAUAGAUCUAAAUUCUUUUCAGAUAUAAUUAUCAUCAUCAAUCUUUUGCAGCCACAUGCAGUACAUAGAAACUGUUUAUGGCCCUAAAUAACUGGAAAAUCAGAAAACAUUAAGAACAAGAGACUAAUCAUUUUAAUCGCAACGAAACAUACACACUACGAAAAUCUAAAAUUGAAUUACUUCGAAUGAAUGUGCCUGUUAACAGGAAUUGCACAAGCUAAUCCUUGCAGCCUGCGUCAUGGAGCUUCUCCCAACGAGCAAGUGAGCCUUAAACACUUAUCACUCAGCUCAAACUAAAAUGAAAUUACUGUGGACAUGUGAAUUAAAAAUAGAUAUAAUAGCGGGUUUCUCAAAGCAAAGUCAAGAUAAGAGAUUAACUCUGCUCCGUAAUUACAUUAAAAAUAACAAACAAUGAAAAACAGAGCUAGAGAAGAACUUACCUGUGCGUUGAGACCAUGUGGGGAAUGUGAGAUAUCUUCUUAGAUUUGGUUUGAGAAACUCCAUCUUCAUCAAAUGUUUAACCAAAACCAUAUCCAUUCACAUUCAAAUUCAGAAUCUUGUUAGAAUGAGAGAUGAAUAUUGAAGAAUAGUGACUAUGCAUUUAUCUCCUAUUAUUUGGUCAUUAUUCUCUAUAGUACCAUAGAAAUGAAUAAUUCUAUGAAUCAGAUAAAUCAGCCUUCUUCACAAAACCAUGAAAAAUAUUUCACGGUGUUCUACACAGUCCAGAUCAGCAUUGGUGACAAACAUUUGAUGAAGACCCUGCCAAUUAAAAUUUCAGUCCCCGUGUAGAGAAAUGUUCCAGUCAGGAAUUUUAAAGUGUGGGAAACCUUUAAAACCGCAUGGUUUUAAAAGCUUAAAACUGUAGGCCUUUAAAGCUGUGUGGUUUUAAAGCUUUCUCGGACUUUCCCGCACUUUAAAAUCCCUGACCAGAAAACUACUCUCCCCAUGUAAUAAAAUUUCUUAUUUUUCUUAAAAUUUUCCUUUUGUACACAAAUGCGGACACUUAAGAAAAAUAAGAUUUCAUACCUAAAGAAAUUGGGAUUUCUUUUGACCAUGCAAGUUACAAUUUCAGUCCCCAUGUAAUAGGAAAAAUUUGUACACAUACUUGUAGCAAAUUAAUAUGUCAUACCUCACGAUAUUUAUCAUAACCAUCGAUCUCUAGAAACCACAUGCAGACUUGUAAAACUGUUUAUGGCCCAAAAUAAUUGGCAAAAUUAGAACAGAUUUAAAAAUGAGCGACUAAAUAUUUCAAUGGGGACUAAAAUUACACAUCUUGGAAAUCUAAAACUCAAGUACAAAAAUUACAGCAAUUAAACAAGCUGGGAACUGUAGUGCAAAUGCUUUUUCAAACUCUUCAAUUGCAUAAGUUAGUUAGACUCAACCUUUCUCAAUCUUUCAAUUCACAUAUGAUAGCCUGAUAACACAAGGGAACACUGUAAGUGAAUUGUCAACUGUGACAAAUUUCGGGUAAAAAUUGUCAACUGUAGUUACUUGCGUAAUAUAUAGUGCCAACACCAAAUUCCUUCCUGAUACGCGGAAGCAUAUCAGCCCACAAACGGUUUGCUUUGUCAAUAUACUAAAAGCUUUGUAGCUUUUAAGAAACUGAGAGGUGAAAGACCUGGAAUUUUCGAUAGCAACUCAGGAUUCUAUAUUUAAAAUAUGAUUUUUGAUAACUUGCUGAUACAAAAUACAUUGCUCCGAGCACUUUUCUACAGGAGCUAAAAUCAAGCCAGUCACUUCCAUUUGUUGCAGUUUUAAUGCAGAAAGCAAAAGGGGGGACAAAUUCUGCAUGAUAUCACUUGUAAUACGGCGUGUUUGCGGAAUUAAAUAAUUACAAAAUUACAUUCUUGAGUGUACAGAAAUGAUAUAUAGCAAAUCAGGCAUAAAGGAAUAACAAUAUAAUUUUACAUUGUUCGGCUUUUGGCCUACUUUACAGUGAAGACGUGAAGAGAAUUUUACUAAGAAAUAGGAGUGUACUAAUACUGAAGAAAAACAUUCACUGACAACCCAAAUCACUGAUAUUUACUUGAUUUCUCACUCACUCUAAUAAGAACAUUCAUUCUCCCAUAAUUCACUCAAAUGAAACUUUCAUUGGAAGGUCUUAUUAUUAAGGCUUUAGCACCACUUCAUAUGCUCAACAAUUCAAAUUUGAGGAUGACAUUUCACAAAAUGGAGGGCUCUAUUUGGCUUGUGAACAAUGUUCCUCACCAUCUUCAUCAUUGCCAUACCAGUUGCACUGAACAAUCUUCAUUCUGACAUUUGCCCUAUUUAUCUGAUAACACAAGAAUCGAAAACAACUGUUAGAAAUUCUAAGCUUUAUAUAUAGCCAAAAUGGUGAAUAAGAUGAUGCACUUGAUAAUAAAUACCUGAUUUAAUAAAUAAUUAAGGAGCCGGUAACAAUCACAGAAUCUCAUCAUGUGGGGAAAGCCUUGGCAACAGAAGAUGGUGCUUUCAUCCAAGCAACAAUAACUUUCCAAUUUCAUAAGGUAGCUUAAUGGCCCUUUUAAGAAUAUCUGCACCAGCCUAACAAUUAUUCAUGGAAAUUCAUAUUCAGAAUCAUAUUAGUAGGAGAGAUGAAGUAUAAUAAGCGACUUGGCCACUAUAUAUGCAUUUAUCACCUUCAAUUUGCUCAUCCUUAUCUAGAGUAUUGUUUUUGGCGUUAACUUAAUUAGCCGCAAGCCACCUGAAAAUGGUUUUAAAUAAUGACAGAAGAAGCAAGAUUAAAAUAACCACAAGAAGUAGAAAUAUACUUUUGUUAUAUUUAGAGCAUCUUCUACUGUCAGGUUCUUAUUCCUUUAGGAACUUGAAAAUUAGAAAAUAUUCAGAAUGAGUGACUAAAUAUUUUUAAUCAAAACUAAUUAAACUCUUUUUCGCCUUCUUCUCUCUAUUGAUGGAAGCUUUUUGUUCAGCUCCCCACAGACGGUGCCAAAAUAUUGAUUCGAGAUUUUGGUGUCUGCUCGUCCACGACCAGGAUCUCUCCUUAACUCUUGAACUUGCAGCCAACCGGGUAUACUUCACGUUACUCUUCUAGGCGAGUAGAGCUAUGCCUCUUACAACUUCUACUCGGCGGACUCCUGCGCACACAAAAAUUAGUCAGAGCACGCCGGAAGUUUUCCCGGCGUAAACCCUCCGACGCUCAAGUCAGAAAUUCAGGCUUACUUUUUAGGAAACUCUGCCACUGAUCUCGUGGCUCCCUAAUGAUUUCGUAGGCAAUAGAAUCUCUAUGAGCUUUCCUAAGGUUCUCAGUAGAAUGCUCUUCCAGAAUUUCCCUUCCCUCUUAAUUUGAUAUGUAAAAUGUCUAACCCUUUUACCUUUGUUGAUUGCCUCUUUAAUAGCCUUCUUGUGAAUUCGGCCCCCCAUGAUUCACGUUCACCACCUCCCAUAGUUCCUGGGAGUGGAUGCUUGAAUAUUGUAGUUGCAGCCGAGUGGAUUUCGUGCCUAGAUUCUCGGAUAGUAGUGCAUGUCCCGUUAACCGCUGUGGACUGGGUCUGCUGACGCCGGACCCCAUCAAGAAAGGCUCUCGGCUCCUAACAAGAGGCCUGCUCAUGGUACGGUCCAACAGAGGGUGUCCUCGUAAACGAGCAGAAAACUCCUGCUCUCGGCUACCCGCUUCCAGACCUCACAUGUCUGCUCACUUAUAGGAAGGUCGACUCCUCGUUUAGGGUAUGACUGGUCGCUUCAUAAUAUACCCUCAAACAAGAUGUAAGUGAGAAUGGAGAGAAUAAGGAAGUGUGGGGAGGAAGCUAGUGUUUGGUUCUGAGUCCUUGUGAAGUUGAGGAUUUGGGGCUGGUUUACAAGCCAAUAUUGGAGUGUUGAGGUAAUUGAAUAUGAAGCCAUGAUUGGUUUUUGGGAGGAGAAAGAUUUGGAAGAGAUGAUGUUGAGAGGAACGAGGGAGUUUAUAAAGUUUUGGGAUAAUGUGGAGGGUAUUAUACAAUUGCGUUUAGUGGCAGGAGGGUACAUAAACACAUGAGAAAGAACUAUUUUUAGUCCAAUUUCAUGUUUGGAUGUUGAGGUUGAUGUGGAAAGGGUGUGGCUUCCACGUAAAACCCACCGUUUCGUUCUAAACUAAGCGAAUUUAGGAGAUAACUCAAAUAAUUAAUUUUUUAUUAGUUUAGUAAUAAGAAAUUUCGAUUAUAUUUUAAAAGUAUAAUUCAUUACAACAAAAAUACUUAAUAAAGAUAACUGUUAUUUAAGAUAUUACAUUUUUACAAUAAUAAAAUAAUUCAAAAUUUUAAUUAUUAUAACACUAAAAUUUAUAAUAUAAUCCAUUCAUAUACUACAUCUGUUCAUCACAUAAAAUAUAAAAUAGUACUAAAUAUAAUCUUGUUACGACUACUCCUAUAAUAUCUAUCACAUCAUUUACUAUAAUAUUCCAUCUGGCAUGCCAAAAAUGCAAAGUUUGAGUAAGAUUUGUUAAAGUUGAGCAACAUCUUGUAUGGUCAAGCACGUCGAGUAUGGACUUGCAUGAUCAAGUAAGUACAACUAGAGCUGGCAAAACAGGUUAUCGGGUCGUGUUUGUGUCGUGUCAGCUUCAUGUUGUGUCAAAUUUAGGUCGACCCAUUUAAUAAUCGUGUCAAAAUAUUGAGAGCCAAACCCGACACGAAAAAAUAAUGAGGUUACCCAAUAACCCGCUUAAUAUCUAUAUAUUAAAUAAAAGUUACAUCAAAUAUUUACACAUUGUCAUACAUACGUACAUACAUACAUACAUACAUAAUUUAUUGAUAUUAUAAAAUAUAUAUAUCUGCAAAAAUAUUACAUAUUUACAUUAUUGAGGUUUUAAUUAUAUAUAUGUAAAUAAUAUUAUAUAUCAAUAUUAUAAAAUAUACAUAUCUACCAAUACUUUAUACAUUUACACUAUUGAAGCUCUAAAUAUAUUUAAAAUUUUAUAAAUAAAACACCGUAUUUAUAUUCAUCCUUUUAAAGAAUAAAAAUAAAAGAGAAAAUCAUCUCUAAUAUUUGAGUUUUUACGACAAGAACCUACAAAUUAUUUUAAAAUAGAAAAUAUAAUCGGGUCAUUGAUAAGGUAAAUGGGUCAAGAAUUUUAACCCAAACCCGACACGAAAAAAACUGUGUCGACCCAGACCCGACCCAUUUAAUAAUCGUGUUAAAUUUAACGACCUAUACUCAUUUAUUCGUGUCGGGUAAUUGGGUUGUGUCAAAUUUUGCUAGCUCUAAGUACAACUAAAGUCGGGUAGAGUCUGGUAAUUGAGGUUGGACAACUAUACCUUUUAAGCUACAUAAUUAAACAGUUUUGGUAAACAUCUGCUAUUGUGACUUAAAAAUUAAUUUGAUUCAAUCUAAUACUUUAUUAGAUUUAAAAAAUAAUAAUAUAUUUAUUAAUUUAUUAAGAUUGUUAUUUAAAGUCAUACAUUUACUACACAUUGUCAACUUUCAGUAUUUUAUUUUUCACAACAACUAGUAAUAUCAAACAAGACCUAAGCUAAGUAUGAUCAAUUAAUUAAAGUUAUGAUUUUUUUGUACAAAAUAAUCAUCAGAUAAUUAGUCUGUAAAGUAUCUCAAGAAUUAAUGUCACACAAAUUAUAUAGAUAAAACUAAUACUUUAGUUUUCAACAUUACUACAAAGUACCACAGAAAUUCUGUCUCUCGGGAAGGUUCACAUAACAAAUUAUCGUACACUGAAGUAAAUAGUUUUAUCUUUCUCAUUCUUCCUCCUCCCUUCUUCAUCUUCCCCAUCUACAACUUCACCUUCUUUCUCAUCAAGCACAAGACACAUUACCCAGCCCUUCUAUUCCACAUUCUCGAAGGAGUUGAAGAUUUUUUAGAGAUGUAAGCCUACACGUACUGCUAUCAUCAACACCUCCACUCACAACUAACUUUUCCAGUGUUCGAAGACUGAUUAAUUUAGAAAUCCCGACUGGCGUGUAUUUCAAAGAACCAGUGCCAAAACUCAGUAGUCUCUCUAUACAUAGUCCACACAAAUUAAGAUAUUUUAAAUGUAUCAAUUUUCCGACAUUUUCUGGAAUUUCUGUUAUUCCUGAUCACCAAUGCCUUAUAACUAAUGCCCUUAAAUAUGCCACUUUACUAAAUAACUCCAGAUGGAUACUGCUAUCAAGAGACGGAUUGUCAAAACUAUCAUUAUAAAUUAAGAGGGUACGCAAUUUAUUUAGUCCAUGAAUGGACGUGGGAAAUGAAGCUCCUCCUUCAAAGUUUAACCCUAAGUGACGGACUUUCUCUCCAAAAGAGUUUAUGACUGAUUCUGUGCCAACGUUAAUUUCUAGCCACGAACAUUCUUUUCUACUUACAAAUUGGGAGAAAUCAUAUACUGUGUCGUGCAUCUUGCAACUCAUAAUAUUGUCAUCAUCAUCUUUCUUAAACUCCUGAAAGAAAGAGCAUGCUGCUAAAAUGUAGAAAUGCUCUUCCCUAAUCAUCUCCAUCUCUUCGUCUUCUUCUGCAUUAAGGUAACCUUGAGCCAUCCAUAGUGAAAUUAGUUCCUCUUUAUACAUAUUGUAGUCUUUCGGAAAGACAGUACAAUAUGAAAACAUCGUUUUACCAUAGAAUUGGACGACAAAUCAUUAUAACUCAACAACAAAGGAGUCAAAAGACCUUGCCCAACCUCUUUUACUUUCCACAUUUCACUAUCUAAAAUUCUUUGCCAUUCUUUUGAGUGCAAGAGAAUCCCUAUUACCUUUGCAGCAAGAGGCAGGCCUUUGCACUUGUGUGCAAUUUUUCGCCCGAUUGGUUCUAAUUUUUCAUAAUCCUCGAAAGAGCGAUCGAAAAAUGCUAACCGCUUAAACAACGACCAGCAUUCCUCUUCAGUCAAUUGCUCAAUGAAGAUAAUAUUUGUUGAUCCCAUCAUACGUGCAACUGACUCAUUACGCGUAGUAACUAAAAUUUUACUUCCGUGGAGACCAUUCUUUACGCAAAAGAAGAAUGGUUCCCAUUUAUUGUAAUCCCCAUCCCAUACAUCAUCUAAGAGAAGAAAAAACUUUUUUCCUUCAAUUGAUCUAUGGAUAUGGCUCAUAAGAGAUUGGAAUUCGCUUAAACUAGAAGCUGAUUCACCCAGACCUUCAAUGAUUGCUUUAGCAACCCUAAUCUCCUCAAAAGUGUCUGAUACACACACCCAUAUAACUUUCUCAAAAUUUCUUUUCACCUCAUCGUUAUUAUAGGCUAGUUGUGCAAGAGUGGUUUUACCUAUACCCCCUAACCCAACUAGUGAGAUGACGUGAAGGCCUUUUUGUUCACUACUUUCACACAACAACUUGUUUAAGAGCUCAUUUUUCUCAUCAACUCCACUAAAAACCUCUCCCUCAUCGAUGAAGGAGGUGGUUCGCACUCGCUCUGGUUUCUUAACAUUGUUACUCAAAUUCUCAACAAAUUUAAA
RNAcentral lists this long non-coding RNA (56279 nucleotides) under Citrus sinensis (sweet orange). RNAcentral describes it as "long non-coding RNA (CSIN_LNC001074)". The record is from RNAcentral. Lineage: Eukaryota; Viridiplantae; Streptophyta; Magnoliopsida; Sapindales; Rutaceae.